RNAcentral lists this long non-coding RNA (54430 nucleotides) under Arabidopsis lyrata. RNAcentral describes it as "long non-coding RNA (ALYR_LNC000780)". The record is from RNAcentral. Lineage: Eukaryota; Viridiplantae; Streptophyta; Magnoliopsida; Brassicales; Brassicaceae.
UUUUUUUUUUUUGCUGAUUUUUUCUGUUAAAAGCAUUUGAUUGAAUCUCCAACGUUUUUGUUUCAAAUUAUGGAUGAUUUUUUUUUCUUAACCGGCUUACAUAUCAAUUUUAUAUAUUUUAUUGUAUUACUCAUGAAUAAUAUAACUAUUGAUUAUUAUUAUUUUUUAUUAAAUUUCACAAAAAAAAGGUGAGCUAAGAAUUAUUACUAUCUUAAAAUAAAAUUGGGGAGUUUAGUAAUCUCUUAAUUUUUAAAUUAAAAUUGGUGAGUUUAGCAAUCUCUUAAUUUUAAGUGAAAAUUUAGUAAUAAAUAAAAUCUCUUUGUAGUCAAUUCUCUUUAAAAAUUAAUCUCUUCCAUUUAUGGGCCUUAGUCAACAUGUCCGUUAGGCUCAAUUAUAAUGCAAUAAUAUGAGAUGCAGGCCUAUACAAUAUGAUGCGUACUUUUUUCAUCUGGCCUCAUUUAAAGUGUUCACCGGUACCGGAACCGGAACCGGAACCGGAAAAACCAGUCACUAUAGAUAGUAUAAGUAGGGGUUAUUGGAUUAUUGAUUUGAAUAGAAUUAGAAAUCCUUAUAACAUUUGGAAAUUCACACAUAAUUCACUGAUUUUAAAAUCAAAUAAUGUGGAUUUGAAAAUCAAAUAAAGUUGAUUUUAGGAGGGGUUAUUGGUUCAUAGAUUUAUAUGGAAUUAGAAAUCCAAACAAAAAUCAUUUGUUAUUCAAUCAUUGAUUUUAAAAUCCUAAUUAAAUUCAUGUGUUAUUGGUUCUAUGAUUUAUAAAUACUAGUUAAAAUCUUAUGUUAUUCGUUUAGUCAUUUGUUUUUGGAUUUGAGAAUCCAAAUUAUGUUUUAAAUGGAAUUGAAUGGAAUUGAAAGAGAAAAAUAGAAGGAUUCAAAUCCAUGGGUAAACACAUGUUAUUUCAAAAUCCAUAUAUCUUGAUUUCAUAAUUAAUAGAAAUUUUCAAAUUCUAUAUGGAUUUACAAAUUAACAAACUAGUAAAAUGGAUUUGAAAAUCAUAGAAAAGAAAUUAUAAAAUUUUAAAACAUGAAAUUUUUUAUGAUAAACAAAAUAACCUAUCAUGUUCUCAUCUAUGAACUCUGAAUUGAAUCACUCUACAUGUUUGAUGCUCUUGUUUCUCUCCACUGAUUGUUCUCUCCACACAUAUGGGAAGAUAUCAAAGAAGUCCAUAAUUUGGAAAAAAAAACGUUCGUUACGAUGCGGUUAAAGUGAUUCACCAAUUAGGAAUGAAAGAAGUCUUUGUUAGUAUGUCCACUAAUGAGCGUCAUGAUUGGAUUAAGCGUAACAUUAUGGAAUGCUAGAUUAAUUAUUUUUUUGUUUUCUAGUAUUGUUAGUUUUCUAGAAUUUUUCUUCUAGCCUUGUUUGGUUUCGAAAACUACCCUUUGUUUUCUAGUAUUUUUUAUUUUUAUUAUAUGAUAAAAUAUACUUUUAUAUGAAGGUGUUUCAUGAUCUUUGGUAUUAGCAGUUUUUUUUUUGUGAUUGAUAUGCUUGAAAGUAUUAUACGAAGAUUUUUCGUGAUUUUUGUAUUAGCAGUUUUUUUUUUUUCUUUUUAAUAUUCAAAACAUUGCUCUACAUCAUACUUGCAUUAUGGAAAAUAAAAACUACUAAUAUUUUUUUUUUCAAAUCCACCCAAAUAACUAGGUGGAACCCAAGGAUUUCAAUCUCUCUAUUUAUAACUAAAACAGAUUUUCAAAUCCAUUCAAAUCCAAUAUGAAAUCAAAUCCAUACUCAAAUCUUCAAUAUUGAAUAAGGGGUGAUUUUAACUAGUAUUUGUAAAUCAUUGAACCAAUAACACAUGAUUUUUAUAAGAAUUUUAAAAUCAAUGAUUGAAUAACACAUAAUUUUACUUGGAUUUUCAAUUCCAUUCAAAUCAAUGAUCCAAUAAACCCCCCUAAAACUAUCAAAUCCUAAACCGAUCUGGUACAGCGAAGACCUAAACCUAAAGGAGGAUAUAAGAUAUAAAACCUAAAGGGUUUGGUUGGUUCCUUUCCCUCUCCCAAAAAAAACUCCGAUUAUGGCCGGAUCUCUAGGUCUUACGCCGGAGUCCUUGAAGGCUUCUGGCCGGAUCUCCGAGAAGCUCAGCCUUCCUAUCCUUCAGAGCCAAAUCAAGCGUGAACCAGAGGGUUACGAAACGGAGGUCCAUUUGAUUUACAAACAGUUCAGAGCCUCCGUCGAUCUCUUGCAGCAACAGGCGGCUCUCACUUUCUCCUCCGUCGGCCCCGGCCCUUCCGUUGCUAAGGAACUCGGCGACCGAGCCAUGUUUCUCGCUCAUGUCACUCCGUUUUAUCCGAACCAGCUCGCCGCUUUUCCAGCUCAAUUGACUGAUUUACUCCGUACCUCAUGCCUGGCAAUGCCGUCGGGGCUUCGGUAUCAAGUUGCGCAAUCUCUGAUUCUUCUUAUGUAUCGAAAGGUAUGUUUUUUUUUUUUGUUUUUUUAUUACGUGAUUGAUACGAAUUCUGAGAUGAUUGUAAUCGAAAGUAAUGUUUUUUUUAAUAUGUUUGCUUUGGUGUGUGUUAAAGAGUCUUGUCAUCGAGGAUUUGUUAGCUCUGUUUCUAGAUAUUCAGACUCUUGGUGAUAAAAACUUGCGAAAGCUUGCUUUCUCUCACAUUGUUCAAACCAUUCGUAAAAUGAGUAUCACUGAUCCAAGGCACAAAUCUCUUCAGAAGAUUGUUUUCUCUAUGUUGGAGGUAUUUCUUUUUUCUUUUCCCUUUUCAUGGGUUUUUUGUGUAACUGAUCAGUGUAUAAUCAAGUAGAUGAUUUUUAACUUCGGUUGUAGCAAGAAGAUGAAACCAAGGCUAAGAGAGCACUUGUUACCCUUUGUGAGCUUCACAAGAGAAAAGUCUGGUUUGGUGAUAAACAUGACAGAGUAGCAAUUGCCAUUUGUGAAGCCUGCUUUCAUACUUCACCUAGGUAUAUCUUCCUAACUGUGCAAUAUUUUGAUAUGAUUUGGUUGGUCGAAUUAACUUCUCUUUUUUUUUUUACAUGUUCAGGAUCAGGAUAUCUUCCCUUCGGUUUCUUCUUGACUACGACAACAUUAACGAUGAGGAUGAUAGUGAUGCUUCAAGCAGCGAUGACGAGGAUUCAAAGAAAGUAUCUCAGGUUGUGUUUAACAGAGAGGCUGUUUACAAGGUAAACAACAUAUUUAUACAUGAAUUUUGUUAGAGACUAUGACGAAAACGCUUACUACUGGUUGUGAAAAGAAUUUUCCACCUUCAAAUAGUUGUCACUAUCAUUUUUAUCAUUAUGAAUUAAGUAUAAUACUAGGUCCUGUUUCCGAUGUUUAGGCCAACAACAAAGGUACAUCUUCUAGCAAGAAGAAAAAGCAAGCAAAACUGCAACGCGCCAUGCGAAGUAUUAAACGAAAGCAGCGUGCGUCGUCUGAGAACACUACUUCAACUUAUUCACCUCUUAAUCAUCUAAAUGAUGCACAGGUUCAUUUCCUAGCUUUUUUGUAGUGUGUCAUUUCCUAGCUUUUUCUAUGUGGCUAUGUACUUGAAUGUUUUUCUUUUUUUACAGAACUUUGCAAAGAGGUUGCUUCGCCGUAUUAGGCCUAAGUUUGACAAGAGCAGUGGGAAAACUAAUGACAAGAGCAGUGGGGAAACUAAUGACAAGAGCAGUGGGGAAACUAAUGACAAGAGCAGUGGGGAAACUAAUGACAAGAGCAGUGGGGAAACUAAUGACAAGAGCAGUGGGGAAACUAAUGAACGGCCUGAGGUAAUUGUAUUUUAACUCGCUUCAUCCAUUCUAUAGAAACAUAUGAGCUAACUAGCCAUGUAUUCAAUAAAUUUUGCAGACCAGGUUGAUGAUUAUAAAAGUUAUUGCACGAACUAUUAGUCUUCACAAGUUGCUUUUAUUCAAAUUUUAUACUUAUCUUCAAGGCUAUGCUAAGGUAAGAUUUGCUAACUGCCCUUUUUACAAUUUCUUUGCUGAAAAUUUAUUGAAACAGGGAUGCUCUUAAAUGCAGGAUGGUGUAAAGGACAUUACACAAAUACUUGCAGCAGCAGUUCAGGCUUGCCAUGAUGGGGUAUACAAACAUCUUACACUUUAAAGCAUCAUCCCUUUUCUCAUUCUGCAAUCCUUCCAAUCAUUUUUAUAUCGGGCAGGUACCUUCGGAUGCCGUGGAGCCACUGUUCAAGAAAAUAGUGAAUGAGUUUUUACACGAUCGCUCAAAUCCGGAGGUGUGAUUUCAAACACCAAGGGAGGGACUUAACUAGAAAGCUUAUUCUAUCAUUUAUAUUUUUCCUUUUUAAUUCAUUGUUUUCAUAUAUGUAACCAGGCUAUUCCUGUCGCACUCAAUGUGGUACGAGAAAUGUGCCUUAGGAUUCCCGAGGUAACUAGUUCUUAACUCUGGUUUAAUAUUCUCAUAUAAAUGUAGUUUUACAGCACCAAUCCUUUUUUCUUUUUUUUUUCUUUUUCUGAGUUGUCUUUUUGCUUCUUCUAUUUUUUUUUUGUCUGCUAUACUUCAGUUGAUGACAGAAGACUUGCUGCAUGAUCUUGCUCAGUAUAAAACGGAUAAAAAGUACCGUACCCAUAGAAAAGCCAUCUCAGCAGCAUCUGCUUCCCUCAUAGCAUUGUUCAGAGAGGUAGCAGAAGUAUUUGAUUUGUUAAUUGGAACAAAAUAAUCAGUGUAUGUGGUUAACCAGUAAUUACAUUAUUGUAAUUUCAGAUCAACCCUUUGCUACUAGUGAAAAAAGACCGUGGCCGUCCUGGAGGUCACAUUGCCAGACCUAAAAAGUAUGGAGAAAUCAAUGUCUUCAGUAAUGUUCCCAAUGUUGAGUUAUUGCAAGAAAGUGAUGAUGAUGAAGUGGCGUUGCCUGGGACUGAUGAUAUCGGACAGGAGCUGAUAACUGAGGACGAGGCUGAAGAAGAUUCUAAUGAUGGUGAUGAUAUGAAUAACAACACUGAAGAUGAUAGUGAUAUUGAUGACGUGGCAUUGCCUGGCAGUGAUGAUAUCGAACAGGAGCUGAUAACUGAGGACGAGGCUGAAGAAGAUUCUAAUGAUGGUGAUGAUAUGAAUAACACUGAAGAUGAUAGUGAUAUUGAUGACGUGGCGUUGCCUGGCAGUGAUGACAUCGAACAGGAGCUGAUACCUGGUGGAACUAAUGACGAGGCUGAAGAAGAUUCUAAUGAUGGUGAUGAUAUGCAUAGCACUGAAAUUGAUACUUUGGUCAGUGGGGAUGAAGAGAAUGACAGUGAUGAAGCCGAGACUGAUUGGGAAAACGAAGAAGAUGAUGGAGAAGCUUCUGUGGAGGGUAGUGGAAACAGAGAGAAAGCAGAGGGGAAGAAAAGGAAGUUAGUAGAUUUUGAUGCGAGUUUCCUCGCUGCUGAUACAAGCCUACGAGCACUAAAGAGAUGCGCAGAAGCAAAGAGGGAACAGCCAUCUUUUGCAGAAAGAGAUGGCAUACUUUCCAAUGAGGACUUCCAAAAAAUCAAAGAACUUAAGGUAUACAUACAUAUAUGCGAAAGAGACUUCCUCUGUUUGGUAAAGAAGUCCAACUUUGUUGAUGAUGUCUUGUGUCACAUGCAGGCAAAGAAGGAUGCGAAAAUUGCAUUGGCUCGAAAAGGAUUCAAAGUUCCGGAUUCUGAUAAGCUAAGUAAGAAGCUGGUCAAUCCAGCCAAACUUGAAGUAAGCUGUUACUACUAUGAGAAGCUCCAUUUGAGUCGCAAAAUGUUUUGGCGAUGUUAACUGAAUUUUCUUACUCUUUCCACAGGCUCACAUAAGGCAUAAACUAACAAAAGAAGAAAGGCUGGAGUUAGUUAAAGCGGGUAGGGAGGACCGAGGGAAAUACAAAUCCAAGACUGCCAUCAAGCAGAAGAAGGUAUCCGUUUUUGUUUCCGUUGUUACGAGAAAUGGUUAUUUACAAGCAUAGGCUGUGUGUUGUUUGAUGAUCCAAUAAUUGUGUGAAAUGAAAACGCAGACUGGAGGAUCGAGCAAUAGACAGAAGGAGCACAAGAAGAAUAUGCCUCUCGCUGCAGUAAGAUCAAAGGCUGGGAAAUCAAAGCGAGUCAAGAAAAAGAAGAAUAGCCUCAGCGGAAGCCAGUUCAGAGGAAGGAAAGCUUGGAAGUGAAAUUGAGCCAAACUCAUAUCCUUCUUUUUAUAUCUCCCUUUAUUAAAUUAUUUAACAUACUGGAAAAUUAAAUCAUUAUUACAAAACUUCCUGAUUUCUCAUAUUGGACUUGAUGAUAUGCUGUUUGAUGAACUUUACUUGUCCAUGAUAUUAUUAUCAUCACAGUUCACUUUCUCAUAUAGUGUUGUUGUGGAAUAUGGAUCAUAGAAACUUGUUUUAUUGGAUUCCAAAUAUCAAAUACAUAAUAAACAAACAACCAGAUGAAGAAGAAGCCACGAACGAUUCACUUAAAACUCUCUCUCCUCACUUCUUCUAACAAUGACCUCUGGAACGUUUCUGAUUGAGAUAGAUUAAUCCAAAUUUCACAUUUCAUCAAGUAAACAUGGAGAUGGUUGCGUAAUUUUCGAUUUGAGGCAAUCAAUAAAUUUGGCCGACAUAGUAUAUUAGGCUCGAAAUGGUACAUUGGGCCAAAGUCCAGCUCCGAAGACCAUUAACAAGAACACGUAUAAAGAAAAUGAAUCUAGGGUUUCAUCAUAUACUGGUAAUCUGAUUGCGGAAUGGGGGAUCAAGUUGACAACAAGUUCACAUGGGUGAUUAAGAAUGUCUCCUCUUUGCCGUCUGAGAAGAUAUAUUCUGAUUCAUUCGUGAUCGGUGGCUGUAGUUGGUAAGAAGAAGACAAGUUUUUUUUUUUGUUUCCCCUACAAUUUUAGGUAACGUUAUCAUUGAUUUUUGCUUGCAGGCGUCUUGUGGCGACAUAUUUCAAGAGAAAUAUAUUUAAUGAUUCUCUGUCUCUGUCUCUGUCACUGGCGGUGGCUGAUGCUGAGUAUUUGCCUUUUGGAUGGAAAAGACACGCAGAAUUUUCUUUUACUAUAGUGAAUCAAAUUUCUGAAGAAUUCUCCCAAGUGCAAGAUAUCUUUCGUGAUUUUACAGAAACACAAGAGUGGUUUGAUCACAGGACUCUUGCCUGUGGUUGUGCAUCCAGUUUUCCCCUUGCAAAACUGGAUGCCAAAUAUGGUGGAUUUAUACUGAAUGAACAAGUCAAGAUUGUUGCAGAGGUGAAAGUUCUUGUAGCUAUUGGCAAGUCUGAUGAGGCAGACAAACCUCUGAAAAAGAUCAAGAUUGAGUAUUAUGAUUUCCUCAGCGACACUCCACCAGUAGUGGAAGAACCCACUAUUGUCUACGGGUUUCCAGUUGUUUCUCCAGAGGUGGAAUUAGUGAGCCGCAUUUUUGAAAAUCACCCGGACGUUGCAUCAGGGUUAAGAAAGGACAUGAGCCCAUAUACGAAGAGAGCACACAUGUAUUCCCUAAUCUGCGUGAUUGAGACUCUGAACAAGCCACUUCAAGAAAUCUCAAGGUCUUAUUUGGUUGAUGCACGUGAUAGACUGGUGUUCCUCAGAAGCGCUGGACUUCUGUUGGAUUGGGUGGAGAAGAAGCUGGAUGAGGUGACCGAGAAGAUGGACAAAGAGGAACAAGGACAAGGAGAUAUUUGAAGGCAACACUGUUGGCAGCCAGACUGAUGCUUCUGUCUUCUCCGUUUCAAACUCUUAUUCUCUUUUUCUUUCUAGUUUCAUUUUGAAUGUGCUUGGUUUUACUUUAUUUACAAAACACACUCUGCUUUUGAAAAUCGGACACUUUUGGUUUGAUGACUAUCUCUAGGUUUUCUCUAUUGCACAGUGUGUUUCUUUACGGAAAAGUAAACAGUCGUUGAUCGGGAGAUUUAUUCGAAUUUCGAAGCCGAUUGCGACACUAUUUUCACCAUGAACUCCACCUCUUCCUCUCUGAUAUUCCUAUAAGAUUGAACCUUUUUAAGGCUAAAAAGCUCGAUAACAGCGAGCUUUCCCAUUUCUCGCCAAUGCUCGCCGUACUGCGAGAAACUGAUGUCUUCCCAGGGCCGGCGCAGAGGGCAAGCCACCGAAGCCACCGAUUAGAGCCUCAAAAUUUGAAGGCUUUUUUACCUAAAAAUUUGUUAAGUUUUCUUAUAUACAAUAAUUUUUGUAGGGCCUUUUAAAAAUAUUGUGCGCUUUUAGAGACAACUAAAACAUUCUUUUUAAUGGUAAAAAUCUAAUUUAAAAUAAUUUUUUUCAUGGGCUUUGAUUUGCUUAGGACACCCAAAUUCACCGGGCCGGUACUGUGUCUUCCGUAGGAGAGUUUACCCGUGCCGACCGUUCUUGGUCGGCUGCAACAUCCAAGGUCAUGGGUUUUGAGAUCUUCUUCAGCUGCUUCACUCGAGGAGAUCACAACCAUUGGAACAAACCCGCGAUGAAGAAGUACCACGGGUCCGUAUUUGAUGGAGAGAUGAUGAAAGCAUCGGUGAGGUAAUCCUGCGAAAUUGGUGUAAGUUUCCGAUGAUCGGGAGACUUGGAUGGCACGGAGGAAGAUUCCAUUUAGGGUUUCUCUUACCUUUGUCAUGAAAAAGAUUAAUGACACAAAAGUAAGAAGCAAUAAACCCCAUAAAACGCAGAGAAAGAAAGCCAUUUUCUUUUCUCUUCCUCUUUUUUUUUUUUUAGAGAUGAGAUUAGUUUAGUCUUGUAUAUAAGAUAAGUGAAAGAAGUUGUUGAUGUUAACUUUGUAAAUCAAGUGGCUGAGACAAAAGUUACAAUUUUGGUCGGUUUGAAUAUAUAGUAGGAAGCAAUAGGAAUGUGUCCAAACGAAAUAGAGACUCAUCCAUCUUAAAAUUUUCGCCGACUUUGUUUGUGUGGUGGUAGCAUAAAUGAGGAGAUAAAGAGUACGAGGAGGAGAAUUCUGGAGUGUAUAAGUUCCAUCAAAAACUAGUUUGAUAAAUUUUUAUUUCUGUUUGAAUUUGUUUAUUUUUUCCUAUAAGAAGAAAAAAUUCUCUUGAAAUCAUAAUUUUAUUUUAUUUUUAUUUUAAAGAAUUUUACAUAAAUAUCUUCGCUAUAUAUAAAAAAAAUUUGAUUGCGUCUCCAUUGAUGUUAAAUUGUCAAAAAGAUGGCUAUUAGUAUGUUUAUAAAAACAUAUUUAUGGUUAAAAACUUAAAAUAUGCAUAUGCAUCUACAUCAACAUUUUUUUUUUGAUCAUCUGAAAUUAUAUUAGAAUUUUCCAAACAUUUUUUUUGAUCAUCUGAAAUCUACAUCAACAUAUGACCACUCUUUUCUUUCAAACAUAACAAAUUAACACAUUAGUUGAAUAAAUGUUAAAAACAGUUAAAAAUUAUGUUUGUCUGUUUAACCUGUGAUUAGAUCUUAAAUGAUUGAACGAUUCCUUUUUUUCUUUAGUCAGUAAUUUGUGUUAGUUAUGGUUGAAGUGUUUGAUGAUCUAAAUGAUUAAUUAGAGUACCCAGCCCUUUAGAGCAAGUCCAAUGGUGUUUCUUAGUGAAGUUAUUAAGAAAUCCUUAGCUUAAAAAAUCAUUAAAAUUAAUGAAAACAAGAUAUUAGAGUUUCUUAGCUUAAGAAUUGUUUCUGUUUUAGGAUUUGUUAAGGACUCAUGUUGUGAUGCCUUGUGAUUGGGUGAGGAAAAAAUAUAGAAGCCAAAAAUAAAUUUAUCUCUUGUUUUUUUUAUUCUGCGACACUUAUUUUUCUGUCUUGCAAAAAUUUAUCUUUUUUUUUUUUUGUUUAAAUGCUAAAGUCUUGUUUUGUGAAUGGGGUUUUACUAAGACUCAGAUUCAUAUAUGGCAUAAAUUUGGCACGAAUUAAGCUAAAGACUAAUCGUUAUUCCGGUUUUUUAUUUAUAUUUUUUAAUAUGCUUUUCUGUUUUGUAUGUUUAAAAUUUAAGAAAAUUGUAAUAAUUAUUAAGUUUUAUCAAAUAAAAAAGUUUAUAAUUUUCAUUUUAAAAAUAAUUUUUUUUUUAAGAAACGUAUUUAAGGACUCUACCAUUGGACAAUGAAAAUUUUAAAGAUUCAACACAAACUCUUAAUUUUGAAAUUAUCACAAUUUAUAAUAAAAAAAUGUUUAAGAGUCCUUUUAAAGACUUUACCAUUGGACUUGCUCUUACAUAAUAUCAGAAUUAAAUUAGUUUUAAGUAUUGGAUUUUGAUCGCCACUUGGCCCACUUCAAAAAAUAAUUGUGUUAUAAUCUUUUACGACAAUACCAAGUGAAAUCAGUUGUGAAAGAAAAAAAAGCUAAUAAUGUUAAAACCGUGAAGAUUACCAGUAAAAUAGUUAGUUAAUCAUAUCUGGUUUCACUGAUUUUUAUUAUAAUUCAUUACUUUGCCUUUUUAAAAUUAAAAACGAAAAAAACAGUAAUGAGUUUUGGAUAAGGUUGAAGGGGUUUCUGGUGUUAUAACGUCCACCCAACUUUCGGUACAUCGCCAGCAUCGGAUUUAGCGGACCCCGAAACGUCCGGCUAAAGUCCAAUCCAUUAUCGCCACGUCAUCAAAUAACGUGUUAAACCGUCAAAAGUCGCCGUUACCGUCCUUCCCUCGGAUACUAAUUUUAGUACACAAAGAGAGAGAGACUUAAAAUUACUGUCAGUCAUACGUAUAUAUAUACGUAUUCGUAUAUCACGAUUAUUUUUCUUUUUUUAAUAAUAAAAAACUAUCUUUCUUUUUUAUCUUCUUCUUCUCCGAUCGGUGGAGUCUUGUCUCUCUAUCUUUAUAUUACUUGUUAACCUGCGCUUGCUUAUUGGAGCUCUUAACCUACGCGGAUUCUCCGAUUUAUGACAGCUGAACUCGAUUUGGUGGAUAAACAAGAGAGAUCGAGGUCCAAGAGGCCAAGGCUAGAAGAAUUCUACCGGAACAAAUGGAGGUUCUGGUAGGUUCUACGUUUAGGGAUCGGAGCAGCGUCACGGCGCAGGAUCAGGGUGUACCGGCGGCUCUGUCUAACCGGAUUGGUUUAAGGAGAUGUGGUAGAUCUCCGCCGGAGAGUUCGUCGUCUGUUGGAGAAAGCAGCGAAAACGAGGAAGAAGAAGACGACGCCGUUUCAUCAUCACAAGGAAGAUGGCUUAAUUCGUUUAGUUCAUCUUUGGAAGAUUCUCUUCCGAUUAAGUACGUUUCUUUAUUAAUUAUCUUCUAAAUAAUCAAAUUAUUCUUUAUUUACACCUGAAUAUAUUCGAUUUAAACCUCAACAAAAAAAAAAAAAAAAAAAAAACUAUUAAACCUUUUUUUAUUACAUGAAUAAAGUAAAUCACUAGAUUCUCUAUGUUCUUGUGUUUGAUUUUAUUGUUUGAUGAACCUGUAAGAUGUUGAAAUUGUUUCUCAGUUUAAAUGUUAUUACAUGUUGAGUGUUGGUUUAGUCAUUGUGGUUAGGUUUUGUUUUUUUUUUUGUUACAGGAGAGGAUUAUCAAACCAUUACAUAGGGAAAUCGAAAUCGUUUGGGAAUUUAAUGGAAGCGAGCAACGCAAAGGAUUUGGUGAAAGUGGAAAGUCCAUUGAACAAGAGAAGGAGAUUGCUUAUUGCUAAUAAGCUAAGAAGAAGAUCAUCCUUGUCUUCUUUCAGCAUCUACACCAAGAUUAACCCUAAUUCCAUGCCUUUACUUGCAUUGCAAGAAUCUGACCAAGAAGAUCACAAACUCAAUGAUGAUGAAACUAGUAAGCUGAAAGAGAAGAGGAUGAAGAUGACGAACCAUAGAGAUUUUAUGGUUCCUCAGACUAAGAGCUGUUUUAGCUUAACUAGUUUUCAAGAUGAUGAUCGAUGAUCAUUUUUGUUUCUCUUCUUCUUUUGUCAAGAGUAGAUAAAGUUUCGUUGACAAUAAGUUGGAGGAAGAUUUGACAGAAACCAAUUUAUGUUUAAUUGUAAUAAAUUAAUUUGACUGUUUGUAUAUUUUGGUAAUUCUCAACGAAGUAGACUUUUUUUUUUUUUUUUUAUCACACUUCUUGUCAACCUUGACAUUCGUUAAGCCCAUGAAAUUGGUUCUAUAAAAAAACUUAAGUCCACAUGACUAAGUCGUGAAUUUUGACGGCCUAGUCGUAAGUUCAAUAGAGGCUGCGUAGUCACUAGGAACAUGUUUAGGGUCGUUUUUCCCAAGUACAUAUUUUUUCUCUACCAAGUUGAAUUUAUUUAUGUACGAUUCAUCUUAGAUAUAGAAUUUGGAUAGAAGUUGAAUAUGUGUCUCACUGAGACGACCCACUGUCGAAAUACAAUAAUAUGUACACAUUAAAAAAAAAAAAUUGCCUACAAAGUAAUUAGAAAACAUAAAACUGAGAGUUUUGUUUUUGUUAAGUAUACUUUUUUCUUUCAAUUUACGUAAUAGCAUAGGAGAAACUGAUCUUUUCAAAUUUCGUAGGUACUUCAGAAAUGUGUCUAUGAAAUCGAUCAUAUCAAUUUUUAAAAAUUUAAGAAUGAUCAAUGAUGUCUAAAUGAUAUUUUAAUACUUCACAAUAAACUUAUGGUUCUAUAGUAUAUUUUUAGAAAACAAAACCAAGAGGUUAUAUUCUUAUCCAAUAUCUUCACAUUUUCAACUCUUCAACAAUUUCGCUUUCAGUAUUAUUGUGUAACCCAAUGCUUAUUUAUACUCAACUUACAUUUUUUAAUUCCAAAACCAGUAGUCCACCUACUAACAUCACGUUUUAAAAACAAGGCAAAAUUCUGCACCUGUCAAAAAAAACAAAACAAACCAACCAAUAAAACUUUUUGUCUUGCUAUAUAAACCACAGCAUCACUUAUGCAAAGUAGAAAAUAUCCGAAAACAAGUCUUAAGUAAGUCAAACAAAGAAAAAAAUGGAUCUCUUCUUGAUUAUAGCCGCUUUGGUAGCGGCUGCAGCCUUCUUUUUCCUCCGUAGCACGACCAAGAAAUCUCUCCGGCUACCUCCGGGACCAAAAGGUCUUCCUAUUAUAGGAAACCUUCACCAGAUGGAGAAAUUCAAUCCACAACACUUCCUUUUCCGUCUCUCCAAGCUAUACGGCCCGAUUUUCACGAUGAAAAUCGGAGGCCGUCGCCUAGCGGUGAUCUCCUCGGCCGAGCUAGCCAAGGAGCUACUCAAGACUCAAGACCUCAACUUCACCGCUCGUCCUCUCUUGAAAGGGCAACAAACGAUGUCGUAUCAAGGCCGUGAGCUUGGUUUCGGACAGUACACCGCCUACUACCGUGAGAUGAGGAAGAUGUGUAUGGUGAACCUCUUCAGCCCAAACCGUGUCGCAAGUUUCAGACCGGUUAGAGAAGAAGAGUGUCAACGGAUGAUGGACAAGAUCUACAAAGCCGCUGAUCAAUCAGGCACCGUUGAUCUAAGUGAGCUUCUCUUGUCUUUCACCAACUGUGUCGUAUGUAGACAAGCUUUUGGGAAACGGUACAAUGAGUACGGUACAGAGAUGAAGAGAUUCAUAGACAUCUUGUACGAGACGCAAGCACUUUUGGGCACUCUGUUUUUCUCCGACCUCUUUCCUUAUUUUGGAUUCCUUGACAACCUCACUGGUCUUAGUGCGCGUCUCAAGAAAGCUUUUAAGGAGCUUGACACUUACCUUCAAGAACUUCUAGACGAGACUCUUGACCCUAACCGCCCUAAACAAGAAACAGAGAGUUUCAUUGAUCUAUUGAUGCAGAUCUACAAAGACCAACCUUUCUCCAUCAAAUUUACUCACGAAAAUGUCAAGGCCAUGAUAUUGGUUCGUAACUCUAUCUAACCCUUAUUGCAAUUCUCUAAGUUAGUUAAAUCUCAAUAUUAUUAUUAUUAACUCGGUUUGUUUCUAAUUUUAUCAGGAUAUUGUUGUGCCGGGAACUGACACGGCGGCUGCGGUGGUGGUAUGGGCCAUGACUUACCUUAUAAAGUACCCUGAAGCGAUGAAGAAAGCUCAAGACGAAGUGAGGAAUGUGAUAGGCGACAAAGGAUAUGUCUCUGAAGAAGACAUACCUAAUCUCCCUUACCUCAAGGCAGUCAUCAAGGAGUCUCUUCGGCUCGAACCAGUCAUCCCCAUUCUUCUACACAGAGAAACUAUCGCAGACGCAAAGAUCGGUGGCUAUGAUAUCCCGGCCAAGACCAUCAUUCAGGUGAACGCGUGGGCGGUUUCUCGUGACACAGCCGCGUGGGGAGACAACCCUAAUGAGUUCAUUCCAGAGAGGUUCAUGAAGGAGCACAAAGGAGUGGACUUCAAGGGCCAAGAUUUUGAGCUCCUACCUUUCGGGUCGGGCCGGAGAAUGUGCCCGGCCAUGCAUCUUGGGAUCGCAAUGGUAGAGAUACCUUUCGCUAACCUUCUCUACAAAUUUGACUGGAGUCUACCUAAAGGGAUUAAACCAGAGGAUAUAAAGAUGGACGUCAUGACUGGACUCGCUAUGCACAAGAAAGAACACCUCGUCCUUGCACCAACGAAACACAUCUGAUGCUAUAUAUAUCAUUAGGACGUUUCUGCUGGUAGAUAUGGCGUGAUCAAUGGUUGUUUUUCAUUGCAAUAUUUUCGUUUUAAUGAGUACUCUGUUGGUGUUAAAUUUUUUUUAAAAAAAUAUGAGUACUCUGUUUUUUUGGGUCUGUUCUCAUUUUUUAACCAAUAAUGUAUUGAUGUGCUUCUUUUUUUUUAAGUCUAGAAAACAAAGUAUUUCCACUGGUUUAAAAUAUUUCUUGAUAUCUUAUCUACGAUGUCGAUAACAUAUGAUUAGAUUACAUGCUGCUAAAAAACAAUAAUAUGAAAUCGAAAGGAAGUUUCGUUGACAACGAUAAGUAGUGGAAGAUUUGACUUUGGACAACAUGUUGCCAAAAGAUUAGGACUAUCUUUAGAAUACUAAGUUUAUCAUUCUGAAAAAUUGAAAAGCAAUCCUAGAAUUCAAGUUGUAUGACUUUAUUCCUUGUUUUCUCAUUUUUGCAGACGAUCAAAAAACUCAAAAAAGCAUAUGAAAGAAAAGAGAAAUACGCUUUUGACUUAUAAAAACAGAGAACAACGAAAGGCCAGAAAAGCAAAGAAGAGUAGAGAUCAAUCUGAAAUGACGCGAUUCUAAAUUGGAGCAAACCCAUGCUUUGAAAUCUACUAUAUCAUAAAGCAUUUCAAGAAAAUCACGGCUUAAUCUCCUCAACAAACGACUUUAUAGAAGAAGAAGAAAGCAUUACCAAUAAAACAAAAUCGUCUAGUAGUGUAAAUAAAGCACAGCCGUAUGAGGAAGAAUCCAUCGGUGCCAUACCGGAAAAUAUACCGGUUAAGGAAGAAUGAUAACAAAUUGAAAUGACUCUUUACAUAUCCUCAACCGCCUCCUCUCUCCUUGUAGUAAACAGAUUCAACCAACAAAAAAUUGCUCAAGAGAGAAACGUACGUAGUCUAAACCUGUUACCUUGCACGCCACCAUUCCAUGCCUGUGAGAAAUCAUCGGUAUGGUACCGGAAAUUAGACCAUUUAAGGUUUAAGGAUUCAAACAUUUAUGGAUUGGAUUGAGAAAUAGAAUACGUUUUGAGAAGAUUAGCUAACCUCAGCUACUACCCUUUUGUUUGAGGGUGAUUUUGUCCCCAAGACUUAGAGCAAUCCCUUGCGUCUUGCUCCUUAUCCUUAUGUAGCCACUCAAUGCUCCAUCGGUUUGCUUCUCAAUACUCACAUUCACAAGAGCAUCUUCACCAAACACACUUUUUGCAUAUAAGUUUGCUGCAAGGAAUCCACAUUCACCUUCUAUUGCGGAUCUGCAAAUAGGGAAGCAUUGAUUAGUAAGAAGAGUUUUUAGUUUCUAUCUGAUGAAAGAAGAAUUUGAACUUACGGGGCAGUGAGACAUUUCAUGUUUGUGGAUUUGAUAAUGUGGUCGAGGAAUUCUCUUUCGUUUUGAAUUGUGGUGUUCACAGCAACCUGACAUGAAGAAUACAACAGGGAAUGGUUAUACCAAACUCGAACAAACAAACAAAAAAAGAAGCUACAACUAUAAAAGGUUUCGGUAAAUUACCUUGUUUUCCCAUUCAAACUCUGCCCACAUAGUUCUGAAAGCAACCUCUGAGCACACAGCAGGGGAGAUAUAGUCCAUGAUAUCAAUGUGUAUGUCGUUAAGAACCACGACGUUUCGCUCCAUUACAUUUGAUGUCUCAUAGACGAUGUUCCCAAAUAUGACUCCCGUCUCUGUGGACGAGACCUUGAUGUUUGCUUUUAUCUGCAUGCUUCUUUCAGGUGCCAGACUAUAGUUCUGAGGACGCUCAACAAGUUUGAGAUCACCCAUGGUUGCUAACUCCAAGCACAGAUUCUGAAGGGUUUCCUUGGUACGGUUGAUUACUGUAACUUCGAGCGCAAUAUCAUAAUGGUGUACCGUCACAUAUGCUUCAGCAUAGACUGGGUCACUGAAUCCCGUGAGCUGAAGAAUGCGGUUAAGUUUGUUAGCAUCGUUCUCGUCCUUGGUGAAUUCUCCAGUUGCACGCUUUAGGUCAUCUUGUACCUGGUCUUCCAACUCAAGUUGACUCAUUCCCUGAAAGAAACUUAUCAUCAGUACUUUCAACUACAGCGAAAUAAAUAAACAUAGCAUGCCACUAUCAACUUCCAUUGUCUUUCUUUGAAACUGAGAAUAUGAAAAAAUAUCGGAUAUGAACUGUAAGAUAAAGUAGACACCAACGAUAUCAGAACUAAACAGAUUGCCAAGGAAAACUCGUAAGGAAAAAAAAACACAAUAAAGCAAGGGCAAGCUUAGAAAGUAAUAUUACCUUCCGACUCUUUAGAUGGAAGAAGUCAAUUAGAUCAUCAGGUUGAGCAUGAGUUGUUUGGGUCUUUGCCUUUAGUUCCUCCAUCUCUCUAAGCUGUUUUUCAGAAAUCAUCUUGACAAAACUCUGGCGACAGUAUUCCAACCAUAUCUUUUUCAUCUCAUCAUUCCUAUGGCAAAGCAAUUUUAUGCACAACACAAUCCUCUCAUACGAAUCAUUAUCAAUAGGGUGUGGAGAAACAGGAGAUUGCCCAAGUUGCAACAUAGAAACCAUAAUCAGCAAAGCCUGUGUGACUGUCUUGUUUACUUCAGUUUUAGAAGACUGAACCUCUUCCAACCUAAGAACAAGUUUAGUCAACGUGCAAGCAACCACUGCUCCAAGGAAAAAAUCACCAGUUAGAAGCAGUGCUCUCAAAUUUCCAGAAGUCAGUGAUCCUUGAACAACUGUAGGUGAGGAGAAUGUGGUUCAGAGGCUGCGCUUUGGGUAGCAUAAGUUCCAUCAGCAAGAAUCACUGGCUUUCUAGAGGACACCAUGGCAGAAGAGGUAGGCUGAAUCUUCUUCGAUGUCUCAGUUGGCUCAGACUCCUCAGAAACAGAGUAAAAUGGUAAAUCGCCAAGGCAUUGUUUAAUGGUUGAAAUGCCACUCUCAACUUCUGAAAGUGAUAGGCAAUACUCCCCAAUAAUCCAAAGUGCACAAGGGCAGACCUUUCCUGCGCGGAUCUGAUAGAACGUGUCCAACAACCUGGUUAUGAUUGAAACUCUUAACUUCGGAUUUGUUUCUAUUAUCUCUCUAACAAAAACAACCACGUCAAGAGCUGAAGCCACAUUGCUAUCUCCCAAGAAAUCCAUUAGAAGAUGGACUACUGUACUUGCAACUUCGGGGAACUUCACUGCACAAGCAUGGAUUGCUUGAAUAAGCAUUUGUCUGUACUCCCCAUUCUUCUCAAGUUCUCCACUCUGUGUCUUCACAACUUCUUUCUUCAACAUUUGAACGACCUCAUUAAUAUUAUGAUGGGUAAUCAAGUCAAGGGCAAUGUCAAGUGUCUUCCUGCGGAUAUCAAGGUUUGGGCUUGAGAGUGCUCUGAGCACAUCUAUUAUCAACUCAACCAUGAUAUCUCUGUGCAAUGUCUUAAGCUCAUACAACCGAUCAAGCAAUAUUAGCUUCACAUUGUUGUCACUCUGAGAAAGAAGAAGUUGGCAGUAGGUGUUGGCAGCAGCCCUAAUAGCAGUCGGGGCAGAAGAGAGAGAAACAAGUGUCCCAGCACAUUCAUAGAUAACUGCAGAAGAAGUAGCACUUAACAGAGAAAUAAUAAUCUUAAUAUAUUUCCCCUUCUCUGUUGGUUUAGUCUUACACACACUUCGAAUCAACUCCAGCACCACCAUCUGAAGUGAUUCAUUCCAGUCUGAAACCUUGUCAACAUUGCUCAGAAGAUAAUUCACUGCUCGUUCUUCGGCACAGGUAAAGAGCAUUAGAAAUGCAUUUCUCUUGGCAGACGGAUCUUGUUCUGUUGAUAGAACUUUCUCGAUCAUUUCAGGUGCAUCCACAAAGAGUUGGUCUCCUUGUGGAAGCUUAUAUAUCGACAUGAUAGCUAGGAUUGCAUUCCUACGUACAAACGGAUGGCGAUGCUCCAGAUUUUGCAACACUGAUGGAGUCAACGGUUCUACUAUUUCAGUCUCCUUCAACCGGCAGAGAAACCUCAGUGUCACACCACGGAUGUACUCAUUCGAAUGCUGAAGGUUAUUCCGAAGAUUCUGGCAUAUCAAAAUCAUUUCAGGUAACACCUUCCCCUUAGAAUCGGUUUUUUCAAUCAGCUCCAGGUAUAGCAACAGAAGCUUUUGGAUUGUGUGGUCCUCAGAAGGCAGCACAUAUCUUAUAAUGGUUAUGAAAAGCUGAGGAAUGGUUUCACCAUUCAACAAAAGCAUAACCGCCUUCUUCAUGGCAUCAAUUUUAGCUUCAACAUCAUUUCCUUCGAGAGCUUCUUUAAUCUCAUUGGCCACUGCAGGAGUCCCUUUGUCAUAGUGCACAAGCAAGGUACUAGAUUUGUCCAUCUUUUCCGGUGCUGCAGCUGCAAAAAAAGUGAAAGAGAAACCGAAAAAAAAAAAAAACUUGUGAGCCCAAAUGAAAAGGAAAAUAGUGCAGGAACAAGUGGUACCAAUGUAGCAUAAGAAAGAUAGAAAGUGAAUAUAGAGAAUAGGAACCCAAACUCCAUACAAUUGAUUAAAGACAAAAUGAGGUAUAUAUAGAUCACAAGUAACAAACAAGAUAUCCAAAAUGUUAAUAUUUCUUGCGAUUUCAAGUUUGAAUUACUGAGUAUAAGCACCUUACUAGUGUCCUCAUCACUGCUCGAGUAAGUUCUAUACAAGAAGUUUAUGAGUAUCCUCCUCAGCAAUAAUCUACACCUCUCUACUUAUAUAUCUAUACAACGAAUGAAGCAUCUCUUUUCUCUCGAAUCCAUGGUUUAUGAGAAAGCAUCAUAAUCGCAGAAGAAUAUUCGGUAAUGUUCAAUCAAGGACCGAAAGAUGCAAAACAUUGACAAAUCUAAAUCAUCAGAUCCAGCGAUACACAUCACUUUACCAAAACAUUAACAUAAAAUCGAAUAAUAAAAACAGCUUCCGAUCAACUAAAAUUCAAAAAACAUCCCCAGAUUUGAUGAACAAACAAUGGAAUCUACAUAGUUCGCAGUCUCACUAAGCUGCACAAACAUGAGAAUCAGUUUCCUACCGGGAUCGGAUCAAUCUUUAAGGAGAUCGAACAAAGAACGUCCGAGAAUAUCGAACAUUGUAGAGUUUUCACAAAGGAAAAAGGUAAAAGGGGGAUCGAUCUCUAUGAAAUCUGAGUCGCAAGUUAAACAGAGAGAGAGACGAACCUCAAGGUACGAGAUCCAGAGAGAGAGAGGAGGAGAUCCACGGAGUUACGAAGCUUUUGGAUCCAAGAGAAGAUUUUGGAUCUCGGAAAACAAAAACACUCCCACAAAGUGAGAGAUAAAAAAUGAGCUUAUUAUCGUGGAUUCGUCUUCUGAAUUUACUCCUCCAAAUCCGUUUUUUUUUGGAAAACGAAGAACGGAAAAAAGCGAGUCAGCCUCAAAGGCCCAAAUAAUUGAUUGAUGGCAAGCCCAGCCCAAUAGAUGUUGAGAAAACAUAGCCCCUUAUGUUUUUAAUUGUUUCCAAAAUGACCCCAAACUUCAUAAAGUGAGCUUCAUUAGGAUUGAGGAAUCUUAGGACACUUUGGUCAGAGUUUAUUACCUAACCAACAAACGGUAGUCAACUAAAUUGAUAUUCUUUUGGUCUAUUUGAUGUUCUACAUAAUAUAAAUUUAGUUAACCAACGGUAAGCUCAACAACUAGAAGCCUCACAAUAUUUAAAACAAGGCAUCCCAAAUUUGUAUCACGUUCUCUAGCACACCAUCUGAUACGCCUCAUAAAUCUGCAUAGUAAGCAUGUUAAUAUGUUAUAAUUAAACAACUAUUUUAAAAGUGGUCAAAAUAUAUAUAACUUAAUUAGGUUUUAUGAAUGAGUUUGUAUAAGUAUGUUUUAUGCUUGGGAUGCUUGCUCGUUGCUAUGCCUAUGAUAAAGUUUCUUCUUACAAAAAAAAAAAAAAAAACAUUCUAGUAAAACUUCCCUCAUAUAUAAUGAUCUAUUACCUUACUAGAUUUUAUCUCGUGGUACACCACAGAUCGAUUUUUUUAACUACAAAAUUAAAUUUUAAGUUGUAUUUAUUUUAAUAUUGUUUAUUUUGUUAAGUCUUUAAGAUCGUAUAAUUGUAUUUUGAUUGUUAAUUUUAGGAUUUUAUCCGUGAUACGUCCCGUAUUAAUAUCGAUCCAAACCCGUCCUACCAUAUAACCCCGUUCCGUGAAAUUAAAUAUCAUUUUGUUAUUUUUAAUAAUAUUUUAUCAAAUAGACAUAUAAUUCGAGUCAAUUUAAAAGUUUAAUAUUAUAUAUAUUUUUGAAUUUUAGUUAAUAAUAAUUAAUUCUAUAUAAUGAUUUCCGAAUUAAUUGCGUAUGUCCAACAGUAAGAAUGAAGAUUAAUAACCAGAUUAAGAUUUGAAUGGUCACGAUUAAAUAUAGGGAUUGUUGAGAUCUUUUAAGGAAAUCGAAUUAAAUAUGGAUUUAAUUGUGAUAAAGAUUAUUUAUUGUUAAUAUAUUAUGUUAAGAUUUUUGGAAACAAUUUUUUAUGUUAAUAAGUCUGGGCAAAUAAACCGAACCAAAUGUACCGAACCGAAACCGAAGCAAAAAAACCGAACCGAACCGAACCGAAAAUUUGAAAAUAACCGAAUGGAUAAUAAAUUUAAUAACCGAAAUAACCAUAACCGAAUCGGUACCGAACCAAAAUAUUUUGGUUAACCAAAAUACCCGAAAUACAAUUAUAUUUUCAAAAUAAUUAGUUAUUUAUAGACCAAAUAAUCAAAAAAUACUUGAAAAAUAUAUAAAAAUAGUUCAAAUACUCGAAAAUAACCAAAAUAUAUCCAAAAAUAUCUGAAAAUACUCAAAAAUAACCGAAAUAUCCGAAAAUAUCCUAAGCAAAAUAACCGAAUGGAUACUAAAUUUCAAAACCGAAAGAACCGGAACCGAACCGAAAUUUCAAAAUAUCCGAAUGGGUACUAAAUUUUAGAACCGAAAAAACCGAAACCGCAUAGACCCAACCGAUAAAACCGAACGGAUAACCGAAAGCCCAGACUUGUUAAUAUCUUUGAUUUAAAUUUGUAAUUCUAAAUAAUUAAUGUCCAUGAUAUUUGAUCGUAGUUAAUAUCUUUGAUUUAAAUUUGUAAUUCUAAAUAAUUAAUGUCCAUGAUAUUUGAUCGUAAAUAAGUUGAAACUCGAGGAUUUAUUUCAUAAAUGUCUCUGAAAAUGUAUAUAUAGAUGCAUGCUUUGUUUGAAAAGAAUCAUUCCCUACAAAUAAUCAAUGUUCCACCGAAAUGAUUAGCACUUGUCAUUGCACAUUAUUAACAUAGCAUGUGUUUAGAUUCUUUAGAUGAUAUAUACGUACAAAUAUGAAAGUAUAAACAAUGGUGUAUGUAUAUAUAUAUAUAUAUAUAUAUAUAUAUAUAUAUGUAGUACUAGAUCCAGAGAGGUUGACAAUCAAAUCUAACUCAUCUUCCCAAUGGAACCAAAAUCUUUGAUAUUCGUCAUCAUCAUUAUCAUAGUCAUCAGCACUCCACUUCCUUCUCUCUCUUUUCAAUUCCCAUCCAACAAAACACCAACAACAUCAACACUAAUUUCUUCUCAAUACAAAACCCUAGCCCGCAACACAAUUCAGCAGCAGUUUCUCCGACCACACAACAUCUUACGAGCCAAGCUUCGUCUCCCUCCUCUGAAAUGGAGCAAUAGUCUCGCCCUCUACGCGAGCCGGUGGGCCCAAACCCGCGGUGGAGAUUGCAAACUUAUUCACUCCGGGGGACCUUACGGGGAGAAUCUCUUCUGGGGAAGCGGAAAAGGGUGGACUCCACGGGACGCGGUGGCUGCAUGGGCAUCGGAGAUGAAAUACUAUGACCGGAGGACUUACCACUGCAAGGUGAAUGGGGAUUGUUUGCAUUACACGCAACUUGUAUGGAAGAAGAGUUCGAGGAUUGGGUGUGCAAUCAGUUUUUGCAAGACCGGUGCCACAUUUAUUAUUUGCAACUAUGAUCCUCCUGGUAAUAUUGUUGGACAGCCACCCUUUUGAAUAUUGUCUACACUUUAUCUUUACCUUUAUUUUCCUCAACUACGUACACUUUAUCUUUAUUUAUGUAAAAUCUUGUUUUGAUUCUUGGAUAUUUGUCAUAUUGUAUGUAAGAUAACAAAAAUGAAUUACGUUUUCUCUUGUAUCCGUAUCAUAUGUACAGUAUAUGCUAAACUUUUCGGGUAAGGUUUCAGUUUCAUUAUAUUAAGCCACCAAUAAAACACCUGAUUUUUAACAUGAGUUUUUUUGGUGAUGCAAUUUGUGUUUUGAUAUAUUUUUGUUGCCGUAAACAAAUUUUUAUUUUUUAUUGUUUGGCCGGUUUGAUUGUGUUUCGGUUGAGAUGGGGGACCUACGUUCUUAAAUUCAGACUUUCAGUUCAUGUUGACUUGGUUCGGUCUAUGUUAGAUGCUGAUAUUGACUUUUAUCCGGACUGCCAAAUUGAACCGAAUAAAACCAAACCAUAAAUUAAGGGGAACUAAUCUGGGCCUCAGAGCCAACGAAAUAAAAAAGCCCAAUGCUUCAAAACUCAGAAACUGAACCCUAAAGAGGCUUAGAUCGCUACAUCGACGCCGGUCCGAAACUUCGACUCGUGGUUAUCGUCAGUUUCAUUUCUGCUUCUUCUCUCUCUCGUGGCUAGACCAUUUAUGUGGUUUGGUUCACUUCAGGUCAGCUUCUCAUCGAUUCUCUAUUCUGUUUGUCUUGAUUCGACGAUUCAUUUGAUCUUUUAUUCAAUCGGUGUCUGAUUCGAGCGACGGCGAAGCAAGAAGGCGAAAUAGCAUACCGGAUUUUACCGGCUAAUUUUAUCCGGUUUGACUAAAAUCGUUGGCUAAACCGAUUUGUUUCCAUCUUCAGGUCAUACCAAGCACAGAGAAAAGCAUUUGGGUAGGUUUUGCGAUCUGUGAUUUUCGGAAGGAGAAACGAAAAUGGCGUUUAGAGGGAAGGAGAUGAUGAAGAAGCUGGUGAAGAGAGUGGGAGCGGAGAAUAUCACGCCAGAGCUCAAGGAGAAGCUCAAGGCUUGUGUUCCUGAUACCAAAGUCGUCAUGGGCAGAGCCAAACGCGGUCUCUACGCCGGCCGCCAUAUCCAGUACGGCAACCGCGUCAGUGAAGAUGGUGGAAACAAGUUUGUCUCUUUCUCUCUAUGCCUCCCUAUCUGUUUAUGAUGUAUGUGUAUUCGCUUGAGAUUUGUUGAAUUUAGAGCUUGUGAUGGUUUUGCUUAAAAUUCACGCAUUGAAGGGCUAAUUUGUAUGUUUUUUAGGAAUGCUUUCUAGAUUUAGGUUUCAUUUUGGUGAAAUGAAAUCUAAAUUCUUGCGUUUGGAAGUAUUCAAUAGCCUUUGAAAUCUUUAGCUGGUUAGAGAUUGUAUAGUGCCUCAUUUUGUUUAGCGCUCUCAUUUGUUUCCGGAAGAUGGCAUUGUUGUUUUGUUUCUGUAUCAUGCUACUCUAAAGAUUCUCAAUAUUUUGAGCCAUGGUGUGAUGAAAUUUAUCCCCUUUAUAGAGAAAUGUAGGAUCCAUGUAACCUAUGUGUCUUAAUCUGAUUUAUUCUGUAUGGUUUGGUAACUUUUGUUUGUGAUUUGAGUUCAGGUCCAGAAGAUGUUGGAAACCGAAUGUCCAGGAGAAGCGAUUGUUCAGCUACAUAUUCGACCGUCACAUUAAAGUCAAAGUCACAACACAUGCUCUCCGCUGCAUCGACAAAGCAGGAGGAAUAGACGAGUACCUGCUAAAAACACCAUACCAAAAGAUGGACACAGAGAUGGGUCUUUACUGGAAAACCAAAGUAGAGCAAAGAUAUGCAGAGCUAGGUCAAAUGGAAGUAGCCUUCUUCACUCCAGAGGAUGAAGCCAAGUUCGAACAAGGAUUCAAAGACUUGAAUAUAGCUAAGAAAGAUGCUCGUAGGGAAGCUAGAAGAAAGAUGUAUGGAAAGAAAGGCGGAGAAGGGAAAGCUGAUGAAGAAGCUUCUAUUGAAGGUGGAGGGUCAAAGUCACACCAAGAAGAUGAUCAUGGGUGGUUAGAAGCUAAAGCUUAGUGCUGCACUCUUUUCUUUUUGCUGAGGUUCUUCAACGUUUUUAGAUUUUGGAAGAUGUGAGAGGUAUGUGAUGUUGUAGGUUAUAGGUUCGAUUCCUCCCUACGAAUCCCAUAACUCAGGUUUUGACUUUGAUCAAUGUCGAAAAGUCUUGUAAUAAAUGGUUUACACCUCUUUGGAAUUGGAUCUCUAUUUACCAUUUUUACAUACUUAGCUUGUCCUUCUCUUUCGAUACCUCAUCUCCAAUGGUGAACAGUAGGUGAUCUUAGUAUUAUAUAUUUGCGUAAGUAUUCUUCACAAGUUAAUAUUAUCUGAAAUUUCGUUCAUAUAAUUUUAAAACAAGUGUGUCAGUGGUAUUUCUGAUUUUUGUAUUUAUUUCAGUUCUAGUAUGUAUUUAAUUUCUGUUAUCAAUCAUUUAACCAUUCAUUUCACAAACAUCAACUAAAGUUUGAUUUUGGAUCCACCAAAAAGUUAUAAAUUUAAAGAAUUUGGUUGCUCUACCAUAAAGUCACAAAUUUUCUUAUUUUAGAAAACAAAUAGUAAUAUAGAGAGAUUUAAAAUACAAAAAUCAAGGAUAAAGGCUAAGAUGUUUGUUGCUAUAAUAGAGGACAGAUAAUUAAACUACAUUAUCCUUAGUCGUGGCAUCAUCACUAAAUACUUAUCAGAAUUCUCAUGAUUUUGUUUUCUUUUUCCAUCUUCUGACCAAACAAAGAUAUUGGACAUAAUAACUUUAGUUUAAUAUCUUUAGUUCUCUACCGCUACCUAGAGACGUCGCAAUCUCUACCAACCGUCAGAUAUUCCGACCCCAUUAUAGACGGCGAGGAUCUCUGCGUCUCCGUCAUCUCAGAUUCUUUUUUUUGCGAUAUAAAAUUUAAUGAAUAUUUGCUUUGAAGGUCAUUAUGGAAUAAAAACAAACAUUUGAUUUAUUCUUAAUUCCAAAAAGAUAAAUUACUUAAAAUAACUUGCAAAACCGAAGAAAAAAUAUCGGCAACAAGAACAAAACGCUCUUCUAUUUUUUUUCUUCAUCUUCCAAUUUCCAGGAACAAGAUUGGACGAAAUCUAAAGGUAAUCAUCGAACAAAAUAAACAGCUUAGCUUCUAAAAAUCCUUCCUUUACCUCGGGAUUCUUUUUAUGUUUUCGGACAAAUUGACUUUUUUGUGUGUUUAUGAUGGUUUGGAAACUAAUGAUAAAUGAUGUUACUGUUCUUGAUUCUGAAUCGAUUUUGUAAGUUGUAACUCUCUCUUGUUUUAGACCAGGUAACAAAGAAAACAUUUACUGUUUUUGUUUCUCUCCAAUGAAUCACUUGUGUAAAAUAGUUGAGAAUUGUUUCUCUUCAUGUUCAAGAAAUUUGAUUGUUUUAGUUCUUUUUCAAAAUGAAAUCUUUAUUGAGAAGUGAUUGUAGGCAUCGUUUGGAUCAUUUUAUGAAAGGUUUCAUUUUUAUUUGAACCAUCACAGAUGAUAAGCUUUUGUUUCGAUAGGACCUUUGCUAGACUUUUGUGGUUGAAGCUCUUUAUGUUUGGCUGUUGAUUUUUAAGAUCGUUAUUACAAGAGUUUAGUCAGAACAAUGUUUUCUUCUAAUGAUGAUUUUAUGUCUGGUGCAAAGGUAUUGAAUCGCAGAUUUUAGCAGUUUAGUCUCUGAGUAUGACUCUUGUAUUUGCUCUUUUGCUCGUUUUUUUUUUCUAUCAGUGUUUGAUCUGUUCUUUUUUUUCAUUCUUUGGGGAACUUUGGAGUUCAAAUGAAUAGUUUUUCUUCAAGAAUUUGCGUUUUGAUAAAGUAAAAUAAAGAGUCUUUUUGUUACAGGUAUUGCAUCCAUUUAAAAAGUUCAUGGAUAGGUGGUCGGGUAAAAGAGCGCAUGAGGCGCGACCUGACUCUAAGAAGGGUGGUGGUGUUGUUUUCAGAGAUAGAUUUAACAACAAUAGUUGCAAGGUUCCUAUUUGUAGUGAUGAGAAAAAAACGAUGAACUUUACUCGGUUUGUUGGCUCUUCAGAUAAGAAAGAGAAGUCAGUCUUGUCUACAUACCGCUCUUCGCCAAACGGGAAGGAAGUAAUUGGAACUUCCUCUAAGAUUUGUGGCUCUAGCUCCUCUUCUGUGAAAAGUGAGAAGCAACCGUUUUCUCAGAUAGCCAUGGAUUCAUCAGAGAGCAGCAGAGGUAGCGAAGAUGAGGUAGAGACAGAAAUCUUGCAAGUUUCUCUUGGAAGAGAUAAAAGAAAAGCUAACAAUAAACUUAUUUAUGGAAAAGUUAUAACACCAGAAGCGGAAUGUUCAAACUUGCCAUCGAGCUCAAGAAUCAAGAGAGGUUUUAGGCAGAGGUUUGGGUUGAGCAAGCAAGAGUUUCACCCUGGUCCCUCUGGCCAGUCAACAUCUGCCAACCGAGGAUGCAGCCCGUUGUUAUCCGGUGUCAUUCCAAGUGGUUUUGGAUUGGAGAAAAGAUUAAGUCGGAAGGCAGAUACUAUCAAUAAGAGGAAAGUUUAUGGAGAAAGCAGUUCUAGCUCCUCAGCUAGGGGGAAGAAUGUAACAGAAACACCAGCUGAAGUGAGACGUCGUAGUUUUAAUCCGAGAGGUUCUGUUUCAGAUAUUAGACAGGCUAGACACUGCAUUUUGAAUGAUGACAACGAUGUUGCUUCAUUUGGGAGUCAGAGAUUGGCAGAUAGAAGUAAUAGUCGCAUUAGAUUCUCAAACCCUGGGAGUGGUAGAGAAGCUUUAUCCUCUGUCACGGCAACAGAGAUGUCUCAGACUGAGACAUCAAACAAUCUCAAUUCUCCUGUCUCUUUGGAGCUGUUCUCUGGUUUCCCAGAAUUUGGCCUCUCUGGUUCCUUAUUGAGUCAAGACAGUUUUCGCAGUUACAAUUUAGAUGGGAUCUCGGAGGUAACUAUUUCCUGUUACUCUACAACUUGACAUCUUGUCUGAGCAUCAUCAACUAGUGCUUACAACAAUGCCCUUAGCACCGUUUAACUUUUGGUGUUUUGUAUUGCUCGGAUGCUUUUGCAGAUUUUGCCAGAACUUGAUAGGAUUGAACAAGAUAUCGAGCUUAAUUAUGAGGUUAAAAUUUGACACAUGUUUUGACUUUUGAGUUUCAGAUGUUGUGAUAGUGUUGUUACUCAUAUUUUCCUCUCCCUUAUCAGGAGCUGCUUAUCAUGGAGACAGGUUUACUUCUCGGUGGACUAAGCUUCCAUGACCAACACCGAGACAUGAGGCUAGACAUAGAUAACAUGUCAUAUGAGGUUCGUCCUUACAUCUUUCAAACUCGUGUUCCGUAUUGGGAUGUAGUAUCUUUACCGUUUUGUCUUUUUAUUUUUGAAUGAAUACAGGAACUAUUAGCUCUUGAAGAGAGGAUUGGUACAGUAAGCACUGCUCUCACAGAAGAAGCAAUAUCAAAGUGCUUGAAAACAAGCAUCUAUCAGAUGAAACCUGUAACUUAUGGGUCUAUCACCAAAAGUCCUAGUGAUCACAAGGAAGAUGCCAAAUGCAGCAUCUGCCAGGUUUGUCUUGUUAGUCAUAAUCAAGCCUUUGGCUUUGAUGAAAUCUUAAGGAAAGCCUGCCAUGAGUUGAUGUAGCUAAGUGAACAACACCAAACUUUGUCUAUUGUUGCGGGUGCUGUCACAAAGUGUAAUGGAAAUCUUUGAUUAUUACAGGCGUUUCAUUGAUGCAUGAUGGUGAAUAUAGAACUGAUAUGUAUUUGUAUAUGUAAAAUCAGAAAUUUUCUUUACCUUUUCUCUACAGUUCUUCACACUCUGAUCUUUGUGGUUUACAGGAAGAGUAUACAAUAGGAGAUGAAGUUGGGAGGCUACACUGUGAGCACACAUACCAUGUGAAGUGUGUGCAAGAGUGGUUGCGGAUGAAGAGUUGGUGCCCAAUCUGCAAAGCCACUGCCGAAACUUCCUCUAAAUAACUGUCUUCUUCUUCUUCCUCGUUCGUUGUAUUAUUUAUUUCAUCUAAAGCCUGUGAACAACAAUGGAACCUGCCUAGAAAGGGCCUCACCAUUUCCUUUGUGUACAUACCAAUUCACACCGGCUCUGUCUCUCUUUCUAUAUUCCUUUUGUCUAAUGACAAAGCUAUCCUGUGUUUCUCUUCGUCUUUUCACCUGUUUCCUGUUGAUUUCCGUAAUGUAAAGUGGGAAAGGCGGAAAAUAUGUCAUUUGAACUUUGAAGAUUAAGAAAACGUCAUCUUGAAUUCUUAAACUUGGACAAUUUGUUGAAAAACAACAAAGAGCGUGCGUGGUUCUUUGGAUCUCUGGACUUGUGGGAAAACUUAAAAAGACAUUCAAAGAAGAAAAUGGAGUCGCCUUCUGCAUAUUUUCAAAGUAAAAGCCAAAGGUUUCCCAAAAAAGAGAGCAACAAUUACUGUUGGAUAGACUGAGAAGCCGAAAGCAGAAUCAUCACGGGAUUUAGAAUCUGAGAAUUUCAUGAUUCUCCAUAGCGAGAGUAUAAUACAUUUUCCCAUUUGUAAUUCAGCUCAAGUAUUACUUGAUAGGAUCAUCUGAAACAGUUUAUGUCAAUACCUUGUAGGGUAAAAGAAACAAGUAAGAAAACCAACCAGUAGAAUGUAAAAAUGAGGCAAUUCACUGAUUUUGAAAAUAACUUUUUCACUGAAAUGAGGUAACAAAAAUGUAAAUGUAAAUGUAAAAGUGAUGUCAAUGUGUCUUCAAGAUAUAAAUUCUAAAACAAUUCUAAGACUAUGUUACAUACAGAGCAAUACUGCAACUAUUACGUGAUUGUUUGUACCUUGCUCUUGCCUAAAACCCACAGUAUCUCAGCCAAAACUUUCUCUUGAUUUCCUUAUCGGCCUGCGUUUACACUCAAAGCUUGAAACUCGCUGGAAUGGCCAGAUUUCUUUUGAUCUUACAACAACACGUAUUCAUUCAUAUCUACUAACCUGCCCCGAGUCUGCGGCUCCAGGACAUAGUUGGGUCAAUCAGCCAUCAGGUCCAUCAUGGGAUACAGAGCUCAAGAAUUGUUUUCUACCAAAAUCAGUGGCCAGUCUUUUUGGACCAGAGAGCUUACUCAGACAAUUUGCAGCAUCCAAUAUGCCUAACCAUUUUCUUUCACACCCCUUCUCGUUCCUCGAAUGAACAUAUGGAAAUUCUUUCCCGUAGCAAUGGCCAGUCUUCACCAAGUUGAUGCGGAUUUAGCUCCAUUGCAACUCUAAAAUCAAGCAAAGACACUGAAUGUUGUUCUUGCGUUAUGUCAGAUGGUUGGUUGCUAGUUUGUAUGUGCAAACUAUUACUCGUCCGCACCCCAUUUACAAGCUCGUCUCGGCUCUGCUGUUUGUCUAAACUUUGUUUUCCAGGCGUUCCAUUCAUGGACCGAGCUCCAGCCAAAUCAACGCAUGAUUUCAUUAGUUUCUUCAGGUACAAGUCCAACAUGUUAUUUAAAACAGUAGAACACUCCGCGGAAACCCCUCCAAGACCCUGUGCUACUGCAAUAUUCUCCAUCCUCUUCCUCAGCAUCUCUGUGUCUGACAAUCCACCACUGUCAUAGCAACUGAUAGCAUCUGCGCUGGUCGAAAUUGGAACUGUUCUGCGAUCCCCACCGACACUAGCCGAGCAGAAUGGGAUCCCCAGAGGUGCAACUACAGGAGGCAUGGAAAGAAUCAAACUACCUCGCUCUUCUUGGGCUUCAUCAUCCCUGCUAAGAGGAGCUGCAACCUGACCUUUACCCGAAUCCCUCUUUUGUUCAGCAGGGCAAAGAAAUGCACUGUCUCUUUCAUCAGCAUAGCGACCUGAUCUUUGAUAAGCAAAAGGACCCGAAUCCCUGUUCUCCGUGUUACUAUUACCGGUUCUGUCAACCUUUCCGUUUGGCCCUAGUGGACAAGGCUUAUCUCUGAUUGUACUGUCACACGUUCCAAACCGAACGUUGGGUAACACCCCAUUUGAGCAAACAGGAUCAUUCCUACUAUGGUCAGGAAUUAGAGGUCCGCUUUGUUCAGGUCCAUCCUCUUUCCCAAGCACCAAAGAUUUGCCAGGGUGACCGGUUUGGUGACCUGGUGGUGGGGACUUAGCCAGAGACGCAUUUCUCAAGAUGGAACGAAUCAACUUGUUGUGUAGAGAAAGAUUCUCUCUCCCCAAAAGACGGAAACAUGACUUAUCAAACUCACUCUUAGUAAGCUUCUGACUCAGAAACCUGCCCAAAUAGUAAAAAUACCUUCUAGAUCUUUCAACCCCAAUCUUCUUCACUAUAUGCACUUUCAGGUCAGCUAGAUCAACCCUGGGAUCUUGAAGACGUUGCAUACUUGUUUCUUCUUCUUCUUCUUCUUCUAAAACCGAAACCAGAUGAAACAGUCAGAGGAGUGCACAAAAUGCACCCUCUCAGCUUCUAGUUAUCCUUCACACAAACAAACCCAACUCAUCAACGUAUUAUUUCUCAAACUCAAAUCCAAGAGCAUUUCAAGAACUCAGCUGCAGCUUUUAGUACAGGCCACUCCAAUUGCAUCCAAAAGCUCUUUCAUUUUCCCAAACGACCCAGAAUUCGUAAAUCUCAUGUUCCCAAAACCAAAACCCUAGAGAUCAUUAUCUACUAGCCAGCUUAUACCAAGAACCUUAAAAUUCAACCUCGGCUGAUUCAGUAUCAGAAUGGAUUAAAAACCCUAGCUUGGAGUCAGCAAAUCAAUCCAUCAAGAAGGAAGAACCACCAACUAACCGUUUCUCCAAGUUCACGAGCGAGUAAGAAGACGAAACUGAAUCAGAGCAGAAAAACCCAAGCAUUUUUUGCUUCACGCCCAAUUCGGAAGCUAAGAACUUGAGAAUUUCCGAAAUUUGAGUUGGAGAAAAUCGAGAUCAGUGGAGUUGGACAAAUGAUUGGAGCUUUGAGAACAGAGCACCAGAUUCGAAUUGCCUAAAGAAAAAGAUGAAAUUCGAAUUGAAGAAGGAGGAAGCGGGCAAUGAGAAGCGGGACCCAAGCUUGGAAGCAGAAAAACAAGUGUUGGAAGAUUGAUUUAGAGUAGGAAAGAUUUGACCAGAAUUCAGACACGAAAACAAAAUCGGAACAUAACAAGUAACUUCCCAGAGUUCCGACACCAACCCAAUGAUUUCUCGGCUCCUUAAUAAUAAUAAUACACUUCUGCUUCGAUUGAAUCUUGCUGGCUUCUUGUUUCGUAUUGCUGCUUUUCAGAUUUGAAUGUCCGAGCGCUUUCGCUCUUGUGUGUUUGUUUAUUAGCUUCGAUCGCUGCUUAUUGGGUUUUGUUGUUCGUUUUUCUUCACUUUUGUUUCUGUCUGUUUUUUUUUUUUUUUUUGUUUCUCUCUCUCUCACUCUCUGUCUUGAUAAAAUUUGGUUUAUUGGGUUUCUUCUUUUCGCUCGUUAUUGCUUUUGUACUUUCGACUAAAUCGAGUUUGAUGUAAGAAAUUCUGUAACAACAAUAGAUUAAACCCAUUUGAUUUAUUCAUCUUGCAAUGUUCUGAUCUGAGUGAUCUCAUCUAAUAUCGGAUCAUGUCAGAAUUUCUUUACUUGAUACAAGUGACAAUUUAUUUACAAGAUUAAAGAUGAGUGUUAGUACUUGAGAUUUCCCCCAAAUAUUAGGUGUUGGCUUUUUGGUCAAGUAAAAAGAUUUUAAAAUUUGGCGUUGAACAAAAGAAAAAGAGUUUCAAUAUGGAAUUUGCAAACUACAAAGCUUCGUCAGCUGGAACAAAACCAAGCUUCAAACUUACAACAUUAAACAUUAGAGAUUCAGACAAAUGAAAGAAAAAACAGAGACACAAUUCCACAUAACUCGACAAGACAUAUCCUCCUAACUCAAAUACUACAAGAAAACCUACAAAGAUUACCAAGUGACAAAGACCAAACACAAACAGAUGUGGGAUUCAAUCUAAAAGAGAUGUCACAUAAUCCUACCUCAUAAUACUCUCCUACUGCAUUGUGUUUGUUGUGUACAGCUCAUCUUACAGAGUUUAUUUGGCCCGUCCUUUGCCUCGACCUCCUCGGCCUCUUCCUCUCCCCCGCCCUCUUCCUCUUCUGCUGUAUGCCAAGACCUUCGUAGUUCCCGGGCUGCUACUUGCUGAGUUUGAGUUCGGUAGAGACUGGUCUCCUGGGAGCCACUCUUCUUCAUGAGUGCUUGAACUGUUAUGCGAGCCACUUGAGUGGCUGUCAUUGUUUUCGUUAUUAAUUGCACCAUCUGAGCCAUUCCCUACUGUCAUAUCAUCACCAUGAAUUUCAGCUACAGGCUGAGAAGCCUCGGUUUCUUCUGGUGGUGUGGGUUUUGGUUGACCUUCCACCACUGGUGAACUGAAAAAGUAAGGCUUUGCUUAGUAUGAAAUAAUAUCAUCAUGUCAAACUAGACAGACAAAUGAGGUGGAAGGUGAACUGAAAAAGUAAGGCUUUGCUUAGUAUGAAAUAAUGUCAUCAUGUCAAACUAGACAGACAAAUGAGUUGUUUUUUCACCUAGGUGAUGAAGAUGGGAAACCGUUAAAAGUAGCACGUGAUGCGCCUAUUUCAUCAGCUUCUUUUGAUGUUUCAAACACAUCUUUAGGGAUGCAAGAAGAGUUCCCAGUUGGAUCCAAAGUUGCCCCAAGAGCCAAGACAGCUGCAUUAAUAGGAACGCAAGUAAUUUAAGAGAACCCAACUAAACAUCAUCCAGCACCAAAGGAAUUCAACAUACCAUGUAUACCAUUUGUGGUGUUUCCGAUAGUAGAGCUAGGUUGGAUAAAAUCGCCAUCUUGAUCAUUGAAGUCAUCUACAGCGGUUCCACUGUCACAUACAGUUGAGAAACUUCAGAAGAUUGAUAUACUAAAAAAUGGAUCUGUCGAAAAGAAACAAGUUACAAUCUGUGUUGGAAGGAUAAGCACAAUAAAAAGAACCUUUGAGGAGCGGUAUUUGUAUCUUCAGACGGCUUGACUCCUUGUGUGGAGAUAAAUGUCUCGUCCAAACCAACUCCACCUAAUCAGAACACAUUAAAUUCAUGAGACAGAGUAUAAAAAUCGAAUAUUAGAGAGUGUAUACAAAUUAAGGAUUAAGGGAGAAACUAACAAGAUCUAGUAUGUAAAACUCCUGUUUCUCCGACGGCUAGAUUAGCUUCCGUAGUCUUCACUCAAGUAAAACACAUAAGGACACCAAAAAAAGAAAAGAUUGGAACUGCAAGUUUCUUCUUGGUAUAGAGAGACACAUAGUGUAAAGAGUGCUUGAUACCUGAUUGUGUUCAGAGGUAGGUAUGGCUGAAUUUGGUAGAGCUCUGCUUUGUUCAUACCGUACAGCUGAAAGAACAGAAAAAAAAGAGUUACUCAUGUGACCAGAGCCGAAAAUACUUUCAGUUUCAUCUCAUGUCUUACUGAAAAACUUCGACCACAUGUAAAUAAAGAAAGAAAAAAAUACCUCCAUCAGCAUUCAAAGACGAAGCAUUUCCUUUGAGCAUAUCAGUCGCUAAAACAUAGGGGCUGUAUUUAGGUUCCAAAGAGGCUACACUACUAGGACUUUUAAGCAUUUCCUCUGUUGCUUUAGCUCUGACUUUGCGAAUUUCAUCUUGAAUAUUCCAUGAUUGAUUAGAACCGGACUUCCUUUUCAGCUGCAUUUUGGUAUUAAAUGUCAGAAUGGAUAAGGGUAAAUUUGAGAGAGCCAUUCAAAAUACAUAAUGGUAUGCAACUUUUCUUUAGGAAAAGCUGGAAAUAGUGUCCCACAAAUUCCUCGUGGUUAUCUAACAUAAACAAUAGAAGUUAAGCAGAGAAUUUUAUCUUAUAAACCAAGGUAAAACAACUUCAGACUUUCAAACAACAUUUGACCAUAAGAAAAGUAUGCACUGCUGGAAAACUUAAAAUUCUAACCUUAGAUGAGGAAAAGUUUCCAGCGCUAUAAGGAAAGGGUGUCCCUUGCAUUCCUGCUGAUGAUGGUGAUCGAAACUCUGCUGGAGAUCCCCAUGGCAGACGAGCUCGCAUGUAAGACUUGGCCACGUCCACAGGCGAUCCAGCACCAUCUUCAGUUGCCUAGAGAAUUAAACUAAUGGCUGAGAUGGUGAUCAUCAUUUAAAGCACAAUGGAAAAGAAACACAUAUGGCGGAAUAAUGUGAAGCAAAGCUAUCAGAAGUUGACCGAAAUCAUGUGAGCAAAUGGUCUUCAUAGUAAAAAAAAAAGAGCAACAAUAUGGAUCUUUUGCAUUUUAAGCGGACAAAAAAGUAGUUUCCAAUCAGGACAUUUCAGGAUUAAUGUCACCAGAUGGCCACACUCAAAAUUCUAAACAACCUACUUUUGCAAGAGAGCUUUACGUUGCUGAUCACAUGGAGUGGCAUAGAACAAUAAAAUCAUUUUACACAAACAGAAGAUGUCUCCUUCUAUAAUAACAAUGGCUUAGAGCACAGAGACAGAUAUCACAAAAAAGUACAAACCUGCAGGCUGCAGCAAUAUGGAACAGUUAAGAAGAGUUAGAACUUACUGUAUACUUUGAACUUGAUCCUGAUUUCUUUUCCUCCAACCAUUUUCUUGCUUCCAUGACAGUUGUAUUGGACAUUUCACCAACAUUCACAUCUAGAAAUAGAACAGAAAAGACGUUAUCACAUUGACUAAUCCGGUCUGCUUGCACAGUCUACCAUCAGUUACAUACCACUUGUCAAUCCAUUGUCAUUAUGCCUCCCCUCAACAGCAGAGGGGACACUAGGAUGAUCGACAACCCUAGCCUUGAUGAUAUCUAUUAAUCUAUCACCCUCUUCCCUGGAACAACAUACACAUGAAUGAAUAAGCAGGAUACAAGAUCAGCUUAGAUUUGUUAACUAAACAAAUAUCACAAAGAUUCUUUUAAGCUAAGAGCUGUAAAUAUUAAAUAAUAAGACUCGCGGAAGAGGCUGCAACUUAUGAUGUCCAGAAAGCCAGACAUAGAGAAAUACCUUGCAAAUGUUUCUUGCAUGAGAAGCUGCUCAAUUACACGCUUAGAACUGAGUCGUUGGAUGGUUGGUUGCUGGGCAGUCAGAAGGUCCUAUUCACACAAGCACACAUCAAAUUCACUCCACAAGUUCACAUAAACUGAAAUCAUGCUUUCAUCAAAAAACUUUUAGUUGAAAACGUGUUAGAACUUUACUUCUACAAAAUCAGGAUCACAUUACAAUUCAUACACAUACUAAAAAGGCGAAAGGUGACUCAGUACAAAACUAGCAGAAAAAUAAUCAAUCUUUAGCAACACCAUAAUCCACUGCGGCUACAGAGCAGAAUCAAUCAUAAGAAUAAUGAAUUCAAACAAAUAUCUAGAACUACAGUGGCAGAGCAAUCACCAAAACGAACAAGGUGGUUAGUACCUCUUCAGUAAAAUCGGUAAUGGUCUUCUCAACAUCCUCAUCACCAUCAAUAUCUGCACACAAAGAGGUUAACAUGUAAAAAUCCGUACUUUAAAAGAAUAAGACACAAAGCUGGUCGGGUCGGUUCUAUUAAUUCCAGAACUACUUCAUAUGCAAACCAAGGAAGAGAACGGGUCGACCUAAUCCCAGAACUACAUUAUAUGCAUAAAAAUUAGAGCUUUAGAAUUAGUAUGAAGGUUAUAGCUUUAGAAGUAACCUAACUAAAUAGAGUAGAGUAGUAAUUCACCACUGCUUAACUGCUAUUAAGUCCCACAUAUCAAAGGAAAGAGAAAAUGGGAAAGCUUUAAAUCAAAAUUCACAUUUCAAAUGAAACGGUAGGUUUCAGAUUCGAACAGAUAAUAAACCAAAAAUUCAAAUGAAUCAUAUCUAAACCCAAAUAAAUUGUACAAACCUGAAGAUGAAUCCUCGUCCUCCUCCGAAGACGAGGAAGAGUCGGAGAAGACGACGGAAGAAAUGAAUUUUCCGGCGCCGGAGGCAAUUACGCUGGCGGGUUUGUAAACGAGCCUGGAGAUCCAACUAGGGUUUUGCUGAGGAGGAUCUCGGGAUCUCGGAACGGGGCGGUCAUACGGCGUCCUGACGGCGGCGGUGCGUCGUGGUCGAACAAUUUUUCCUCCGGUACGAGGCUGACCUACUCCGGCGGGGUAACCGGAGACGGAAUCCAUGGUGAAAGUGAGAGGAGGAGGAGGGAGAAGUUCGUUGAAGGAAAUAAUGAAGUGUUGGGGAAAAUUGGUAAUUUCUCGUUAUUUGUCGUCUUCUUGUUUUUUUUUUUAAUUGGGGGUGAAAGGUUAGUUUCCUAAAUUACAGGCCUGCGGUUAAAAUUUGCUUCCACCAAUAAAAUUAGGCAAAAAAACAAAACAUUCCGACUAUAAAAAAAAAUUAACUGUAGUGUAUAAUCAUGUAUUAUAUAUUCAUUUGUUUUCAUAUUUUGAAAUUUGAACAAUGUACAUGACGUAGAAAAAAGAAAAAAAUAAGAGAGAGAUUAUAAUUUGGAAAAAAAAGUCAUGAUAGAACGAAGUAAUUAAUAAAGUUGUAAAAAGUUAUUUCAAAAAUAAUAUUUAAACAAUUUAAAUUAAAAUUUGGUUUUUAGUUUAUUUUUAUUUGCACCGAAUGGUACUUACUGUAAUUCGUCAACUACUGUAUGUCAGUGUUAAAAAAAGCUAAAAUAAUGGGCCCAAUGGGCUAUAUUAAUAUCGGGUCAAGGACGGGUCAGAAACAACCCGAUCGGAUCUAAAAUGGGCGCCUUCUUUUUCAUUUUGAUGGCAAUCAAUCAAUCGACGCUUCUUUAGAGACAAACGCAAUCGCCGAUCCAUUUACGAGCCGUCGUCGCUUUACACAUAUCAACAAUCCUUAUCCUCCAGUUUCCAUUUCUAGAUCGAUCGAGAUUGAAGGAGAGAAGAUGCCUGGUUUAACAUGUAACGCGUGUAACAUGGAGUUCAAGGACGAAGAAGAGCGUAACCUUCAUUACAAAUCCGAUUGGCACCGCUACAAUCUCAAGCGCAAGGUCAAUUUUCUGCUGUUUUCUCUAACCCAAUUUGACCUCAGACUAUUUUUGUAUACUUUUUCCAUUUUGCUGUCGAAAUGAUUUGUUUUAAGGUUAUAGAAUCGUUCUCUUGCAGGGGAAGAAAGUCUCUAGAUUUUAUAUGAAAUCUUGAUUUGAAGCUUAUCAUAGAUUUGGUUUCUUGUACGCAUUUGAAUCUUUUUGUAUUUAUGGAAUUUUUGUUGUUAGGUGGCUGGAGUUCCUGGAGUUACAGAAGCCUUGUUUGAGGCUAGACAAUCUGCUCUUGCUCUGGAGAAGAAUAAAUCAAAUGAAGCUCCUAUGCUUUAUACUUGUGGAAUCUGUGGUAAAGGUUACAGGAGUUCCAAGGCUCAUGAGCAGCAUCUUCAGUCCCGGAGCCAUGUUUUGCGGGUUUCACAAGGCCCAUCAAUCAACGGAGAGGAGGAUAUAGCGAUUAUCAGGCAACUUCCUCGCCGUGUUCAACACAGGGGUUCCAUUGAUGAUGAUAGUGAAGAUGAAUGGGUGGAGGUUGAUUCUGACGACGAAUUGGCUGCUGAAGAAGCCUCACAUUCGUUGUCUAAGUUGAAUGUGAUUGAGUCAGGAUCUGCUGAAGAUAUGGAUGAUGAUGGUGAUGCAGACAAGUAUGAGCUGGACCCAACCUGCUGUUUGAUGUGUGACAAAACCCAUAAGACCUUAGAGAGCUGUAUGGUUCACAUGCAUAAGCACCAUGGUUUCUUCAUUCCCGAUAUCGAGUAUCUCAAGGAUCCUGAAGGGCUUCUCACUUACCUCGGUCUCAAGGUUUGGACUCAUCAAUUUACCAUUCACUGUUCGUUGUUGUCAAGCUUUCAAUUUCUUACUCCUAUUUACUUAUACAUGGCUCAUCACUCAGGUCAAGAGAGACUUCAUGUGUCUAUACUGCAAUGAGCUGUGCCGUCCAUUCAGCAGCUUAGAAGCUGUAAGAAAGCAUAUGGAAGCAAAGAGUCAUUGCAAACUGCAUUAUGGUGAUGGUGAUGAUGAUGAAGAUGCUGAACUAGAAGAGUUCUAUGACUACAGCAGCAGGUUUCAACUCUCUUGUAUCUUUGAUUUUUCUUGUUCUCACCUCUAUUCCUCUUUCUAUGCCAAAUCUUAAUGCACCUUCCAUUGGAAUCUAUGAAUUGAGCAGCUAUGUUGAUGAAGCUGGGAAGCAGAUUGUUGUAGCUGGUGAAACAGACAACACUGUAGAACUUGUUGGGGGUUCUGAGCUCCUGAUCACGGAGAAUUCCGAGAACACAAAAACGUCUAAAACUCUCGGGUCCCGUGAAUUCAUGCGUUACUACAGACAGAAGCCACACCCAACUUCUCAAAACAGCAGCCAGAUAAUGUCCUCUUUAUCUUCAAGGUUUGUUUUCUCCAAACCCAUUAGUCAUCCAAACCUAUUAAACUAGCGAAUCGGCAAGUUAAUUUAAGGUUAUUCUCACAAAUGGCAAAUUCUCAGGUACAAGAGUCUGGGUCUGAAGACGGUACCGUCAAAAGAGGAGACAUUGAGGAUGAAAGUGCGCAAGGAGAUGAGUCAGAGAGGUGAGACAAUGCGUACCAAGAUCGGAGUGAAGAGUAAUGUCAUCAGAAACUUGCCCAAUAAUGUCCCAUAUUAGUUUCUGUCUAUUGUCUAGUGUUGGAUUGAAUGAUGAUUUCAUGUACUUUGAGUCUUUGACCAAGUUGUGUUGGUACUUUGGUAAUAAGAGUUAGCUUUAAACAGAGUAUGUUCACUGAAAUAGAAAAUGUUAAAAUUGCUACACGAACGUUGACUUCUGAUUUACUCUCAAUAUCUACAUUGUUCAGAGAUGCAUGUAAAACAAAGAAGAGACCACGACAAAGGGUACUACAAUAUCCCAAAAAGGCUUUUAGUUUUGUUUUUGUACAAAGGCUGUGGCUGCGAGUAAUGUCACAAGACAAACCUAAAAUAAAUUUAUGUGUAGAAGGAAAAAGAAGAGAGAGAGGUCCAAAACCAAGAACACUGGCUACGAAUAGGUUGGUCUGCUUCAUUCGCUUCGCUUCAUUUUCCAGCUGACUGAGAAAGAAAAGAAACAUAAGAGAUCCACAAGAAGAUAGUACCAAAAGCAUAGAAACAGAAAGUUAAUUACCUAAUUUUCAUAGAAGCGGGUUCGACGCCUUCUUGAACUGCAAACCAGAAAAAAUAUGGCAUCAAGCAAUGUUUCUUAAGUAACCAUCAUAUAUAGCACAAUAAAGCUACUAAACCAGGUCAACACCCUGAGCCACUAUGCCAGAGAUAUCACACAAUAGGACCUGAUUUCGUCAUUUAACCUGGCUCACCGGUAAGCCUCUAAUAUCAAUGCAGAAUAAUCAUAUACUAUGAAACUAAGAAUGUACAUCUCUGCAGAACGAAACAGUAACAAAUUAGUGGUGUAAAGCAAUAGAUGGUUCUGACCUUUGGUGCAUAGAGCUACUUCUGUUAGCUCCACUUGUGCUGAUGAACUCAUCAUCGAUCUCAUCUACUCUAUACUCCGGGAACUCUAUGGAUGCUACUGAGCUGUCAUCAGAGUUGGAGUUUUCAUAGCUAGAGCGGCGACUCCCUCUCCUGCUCUCGCUCAUUCUUGAUCUUCUUCGAUUCCUGGCAUUCCUUAUAUUGUCAAACAUUUGGUACAGAAUACAAGAGGUCCACCAGUUUCCUUCAUUGUUAGGAACAUCCUCAAAUUCAUCUCCAGUGUCAUCAUCUCCAUAUUCGAUCACAUAGUCCCCUAAAACCACUCCUCUUGGAACUUCGGAGUGAAUUGUGCUCAACACGUCGAUUAUUUCAGACGACUGCUGGAAAUUCUCCCAAUCAAGCUUCCGUGCUGGAUCAAUUUCUGAAGGACGAGAAUCCGGAUGCUCUGACUGAGCAUGUUUGCGAAGCUCCAAGUAAGUACCCAUAAACCUGCAUCUUUCUUCCUCACAGCAACGUUUUUUCUCAUCAAGACGGACACGGGCUUCUUCUACAACAAGCCAGCCAGUAACUUCUCCUCUACACAGUGGACAAACGGGUUUGCAACUCUCUUCUAGAACCUUAGAGCGAGGUUCAUCAGGGGCUGGAGGUGAAUCAGUACCACAGGCGCUAAUGAAACGAUCCAAACAGUUAGAGUGAAGGUGAUCAGUAUUGCAGACAAAAGCACGGCAGCCGUUUUCGUAAGAAGAACACUGGAGAAGCACACCAUUGUGAGGGAAAUCCAAACAAAUGGGACAAGUUAAAUCAUCCCAAUUGAGAGUCAACUGAAACUCUUGGCUACAAAAGGUCUUAGCUUGAAGCCGCUUUUCACAAACAUGUAGUUCCAGAGCCAUAAGAUCCGCAAAGGAAACAGAUUAUUCCAACUUAUCGGGAAGGAACUAAGUAUCUAUAAUCAGCAACCCUUGAUGGAAGAAAUCAUUUCCCCGGAAUCUGUUACUUGAUAGUAGCUGCAUAUAUGCAUGUAAAUAAGUAUCCACAAUCUUAAAUCUGCUGCAAAAAUAUGAAUGUAAAAAGACAAUUCGAUAAAUGAUAAAACCCCAAAACCAAUACGAUUCAGUCGCUGGUGAAACACGAAGAACCCAAAAGAGAGUGAGAAUCGGAUUCAAAAUCAAACAAUUUUUAGAAAACCGAUCGCAUAAUCAAGAGCAGAAGAACCCUAGCCAAAUUAGAAACGACAGAUCCAAAUCACCGAAUUGGUAAGCAGUAAGCAAACGAAAUCGAAGAAAAAGAGAACGAAAUCGAAGAAGCUGACCUGAGAUUGAAAGUUACAAAGGAAGUGGAAGAAGGGCGAUGAUGGGGUUUGCUUGUGGGGAUAGUGUAUCGCAGUUGGUAGCCUCCUUUUUCUCUCUCUCUCCUACUCUCUCUCAAUCCCCAUAUCCAUUUUUACCUUUUCAAUACAUUAUUAGAGCUAUUUUUAAUAUCAUUAAUAUUAUUAUCUAAAAUAUUAUGUGACGACUUUUUACUUUCGAGUUUCAAGUAAUAAAAUAUGCUACAGGUUAGUCUUUCAAAAAAAGUACAUAUAAGGUCCGAAUGGUAACCGCGGUUUUUGUUGUGCGGAGAAAGCGGUAUGACAGUGCGGUACGGUUCAACUGCGGUACGUGCGGUAUGCGGAACAAAUGCGGUUUUUGUAAAUAAGCGGUACGAAAUAAUGUUUGAUUGGUAAAAAACAAAAAGCGGUGCGGGAUAUACAUUGUAGUUAAAUAAUUUUAAUUAAACAUUCAAAUAUGUAUAUAUAUAUAUAUAUAUAUAUUAAAUAAAAAAUUUCAUAAUAAACAAUAUGAUACAACAGAAAAAUAUUUUUCGAAUAUUUUUUAACUAAUUAUUUAAAUACAUGUGGUUUUUUAUAAAUAUUUUAAGUAUUUAAACAUAAUUUAAAUAAAUAUGGUGAUACAAUUAUAUAUCAUAUAUUUGAAAAAACCAAUAUGACAAAGAAAUAAAACAAACCAAAAAUAACAUGUAUAAUUAAAUAAAUGGUUAAUACAAGUUCUAUUUUUUAAAUUACACAUAUCUCUAUAGACUGUAGAUACCACAUAACGCAAACACAUCAAAUAGGAUGUGAAUUUACUGUAGCGGGCCAACUACAAUAUUUACAAACAAAAUUGAACCGCACUCACAACCCAAAAAAUAAAAAGAAACGUCCCGCACUUGUAAUAUUUUGUUGAUUGGUAACAUAUCAAUGGGUCCCAUGAAAAACGUCCCGCAGUUCUGAAAUCCGCCGUCUCCAUUCACCCCCUAAAUUUGAAUAUUUGAUUUGCAGCUGAUGACUGGAAAAUAUUUUAUUGUGAUUUAUGAGAAGAAAAUUUCCUACAUCUGAUUUAUAAACUUUUGUUUGUGGUUUAUUUAAUAGGGUUUGUUAGAAUUAUUUGAGCUAUAAUUUUCAAUUCUAUAUCGAGUAAAAAUGAUUUUACUUUAUAUUUGUUAACUAUUGUCUGAGUAACAAAUAUUUUGAUUUAGGAAAUAAAUCAACAAAUUCAUCUUGCAAGCUUUGACUAGUUUUUAUUGUUUUUCUUAUGCUUUUUUUUUUAAUUGGUUUGCUUGAAUAUCAAAUUAUCGAAAUUAAGCAAAACUUCUUUUUUUCCACUUUCUUAUUAAACUCGUUAAAAUAAAAAUAAUAAUAAAUUUUUGACAAACAAAAGAAGAUUGGAAUUAAAAAUUCUAAGUUUGUUGUAUUUGACAGUUAUUUCUUAGUGGAGUAAUAAUUCCCAAAAACAAACAAAAGAUAAAGGGUAAAAACGAUCGCUAAAAUAGGGUCCGGGUAACCAGCCCAUUAAUUCAAAUUGGGCUUAACUUAAGGCCCACGUGAAAUAAAUGGAAACUAGAAAAAAGGAAAGUUAUGUUAACUAAAAAAAGGAAACUAGGCGUUACAAAAAAAAAAAAGGAAAUCAGCCAGCUGGCACCGCCGUGAGUAGUGUUUUAUAAAAAGGGGAAAGCUUAUCAGAGAGAGUCAGAAUUUGUUUUGCCUUCUUCUUUCUCUGUUUGUCAUAUUUCUCUCGAUCGCUAUAUCAUAACAUCAUAACGGAAGACGAUUUGUAGAAUGUAAGAAUUCUUCCGAUUCUCUUGAUUUCUAGGGUUGUUUUAUAUUUUAACUAUUAAUCAGUUCUUUCUCUGUUUCGCAUGUUUCUCUCUAUCGGAUCAUUCAUGAUCGAAGAAGUUUUGUAGCGAUAAUCACUGUAAGAAUUCUUCUCUCUUGAUUUCUAGGGUUACUAAACUUCAUUAUUAUCAGUUUUUUUUUUUUGUUCUGUUCUUUUGGUUUUCUGUUCGUUUUGAAGCGGCUUGGAUAAUUUGAAAACCAAACGAAUCGCGACUCUGCGUUUCAAAGUUUUCUGAGAAUUAUUACAAGUUCGUUCUUCUUCUUUUUUUGUGUUACUUGAUUCUGUUUAAGAGGGUUUGGUUUCCGUUUUUUGUUUUGCUUUUGUAGCGCUUUCGAUACUUUGAUAAAGCGUGAAAUUGUUGCGAUCGGUUGUGGUUUAUUGCUCUGCGUUUUUCUGUUUUGUUUUUGUUAGAUUUCUUCCUUGUUUUGUUUUUUUUUCAAAAUCCAAGAGAGAUCAUAUGCAGACACUCAACUAUUAGUGUUCUGUCAGAUUCUUUCUUGGGGACAUUGUCCCGUCGAGUUGGCUUAUGAGGGAUUUUUGACCUGAGACUGAAAACCGAUCCUUUACCCACGGCUUAUUAUUUUGACAAAUAUACUUGGGAUUGGUUUCAGGUUACUGGUCAAAGAUCAAGUUACCCACGGCUUAAAAAAGUCUUUAGACAGAGACUUGAGUUUCCAAAAAACCAAUCCUUUAGACAAAACACUGGAUUGGGUUAUGUUUGGUGCAAGGAAAAUGGUACCAUACGGCUUAAAACUUUAGCCUUUAGACUGAGACUUGAGACUGAACAUUGAUCCUUCUUGGUACCCACGGCUUGAAAAUCUCUAGACAUAUGGAUCAUGUUCGGUUUCUUGUUUCAGUCUAUAGACAAAGAAAUAGUUACCCACGGCUUAAAAAAAGUCUUUAGACAGAGACUUGAGGUUCUAAAAACCAAUCCUUUCGACACAAGAUUGGAUUGGGUUAUGUUUGGUGGAAUGAAAAUGGUACCCACGGCUUCAAACUUUAGUCUUUAGACUGAGACUGAUUCUGAACUUUGAUCCCUUCUUGGUACCCACGGCUUUAAAAUCUUUAGACAUAUGGAUCAUGUUUGGUUUCUUGUUUCAGUCUUUAGACAAAGAACAGUUACCCACGGCUUAAAAAGUCUUUAGACAGAGACUUGAGGUUCUAAAAACCAAUCCUUUAGCCAAAAGAUUGGAUUGGGUUAUGUUUGGUGGGAUGAAAAUGGUACCCACGGCUUCAAAAUUUAGUCUUUAGACUGAGACUGAUUCUGAACACUGAUCCUUCUUGGUACCCACGGCUUGAAAAUCUCUAGACAAUAUGGAUCAUGUUCGGUUUCUUUUUUCAGUCUUUAGACAAAAAAAUAGUUACCCACGGCUUAAAAAUUGUCUUUAGACAGAGACUUGAGGUUCUAAAAACCAAUCCUUUAGACACAAGAUUGGAUUGGGUUAUGUUUGGUGGAAGGAAAAUGGUACCCACGGCUUCAAACUUUUGUCUUUAGACUGAGACUGAUUCUGAACUUUGAUCCCUUCUUGGUACCCACGGCUUGAAAAUCUUUAGACAUAUGGAUCAUGUUUGGUUUCUUGUUUCAGUCUUUAGACAAAGAACAGUUACCCACGGCUUAAAAAAGUCUUUAGACAGAGACUUAAGGUUCUAAAAACCAAUCCUUUAGCCAAAAGAUUGGAUUGGGUUAUGUUUGGUGGAAGGAAAAUGGUACCCACGGCUUCAAACAUAAGUCUUUAGACUGAGACUGAUUCUGAACAUUGAUCCUUCUUGGUACCCACGGCUUGAAAAUCUCUAGACAUAUGGAUCAUGUUCGGUUUCUUUUUUCAGUCUUUAGACAAAGAAACAGUUACCCACGGCUUAAAAAAGUCUUUAGACAGAGACUUAAGGUUCUAAAAACCAGUCCUUUAGACACAAGAUUGGAUUGGGAUAUGUUUGGUGGAAGGAAAAUGGUACCCACGGCUUCAAACUUUUGUCUUUAGACUGAGACUUAUUCUGAACAUUGAUCCCUUCUUGGUACCCACGGCUUGAAAUGUUUUAGACAUAUGGAUCAUGUUCGGUUUCUUGUUUCAGUCUUUAGACAAACAUCAAGUUACCCAUGGCUUAAAAAAGUCUUUAGACAGAGACUUGAGGUUCUAAAAACCAAUCCUUUAGACAAAAGAUUGGAUUGGAUCAUGUUUGGUUAAAGGAAAAUGGUACCCACGGCUUCAAACUUUAAUCUUUAGACUGAGACUGAGACUGAACAUUGAUCCUCCUUGGUACCCACGGCUUUAAAAUCACUAGACAUAUGGAUCAUGUUCGGUUUCUUGUUUCAGUCUUUAGACAACAGUUACACACGGCUUUAAAAAUGACGUCUUUAGACAGAGACUUGAGGGACAAAACACUGGAUUGGGUUAUGUUUGGUGCUAGGAAAAUGGUACCAUACGGCUUAAAACUUUAAGUCUUUAGACUGAGACUUGAGACUGAACAUUGAUCCUUCUUCGUACCCACGGCUUGAAAAUCACUAGACAUAUGGAUCAUGUUUGGUUUCUUGUUUCAGUCUUUAGAUAAAGAAACACCCACGGCUUAAAACAUUAUAAGUCUUUAGACAGAGACUUAUAAUUUUAAACAAUGGAAACUUGUAUAAUAAAUAUACAAGACGAUGUUAAUCUAACCGGAUUUUGGAUCCCGUCAUUGAUCGUUAGCGAUUCCACAAAUUCAACUUGUUUUCACAUCCUUAUGUAGAUUUAGCAUACAAGUUUCUGUUGAAAAAAAUAAAUACAAGAUUCUUAUGUUGGUUGAUGGAAAAUGGUACCCACAGCUUCAAACUUUGGACUGAGACUUGAGACUGAACAUUGAUCCUUCUUGGUACCCACGGCUUGAAAAUUUAUAGACAUAUGGAACAUGUUUGGUUUCUUUUUUCAGUCUUUAGAGUUUAGAGCAUCCACAAUGGUGCAUGUGGGAGUAUGGGUGUGAGUGGUGAUUUAUUAAUAAAAUAAUGUAAGGGUGUGAAGAUUGAGUGCUGAUUUAUUAAUAAAAUAAUGUGGGAGUAUGGGUGUGAGUGGUGAUUUUUCUAUGUCAAAAAAUCGGAACCAACAAAACAAAGACACAUGUCCCUCACAACCGAGUGUAAACUAACACUCGAAUACCAACUCCAAACUUACUGUUCUCUUAUUUGUGUAUAUUUUAAUAGUCACACCCACACAAAAAAUAGAUCGUUGUGUAUGGUCUUAGAGAAAGAAACAGUUACCUACGGAUUAAAAAAGUCUUUAGACAAAGACUUGAGGUUCGAAAUAACCAAUCCUUUAGACAAAAGAUUGGAUUGGGUUAUGUUUGGUUGAAGGGAAAUGGUACCCACGGCUUCAAACUUUAGUCUUUACUCUGAGGCUUGAGAUUCGAACAUUGAUCCUUCUUGGUACCCACGGCUUGAAAAUCUGUAGACAUAUGGAUCAUCUUCGGUUUAUUUUUUCAGUCUUUAGACAAAGAAAUAGUUACCCACGACUUAAAAAAGUCUUUAGGCAGAGACUUAAGGUUCUAAAAACCAAUCCUUUAGACACAAGAUUGGAUUGGGUUAUGUUUGGUGGAAGGAAAAUGGUACCCACGGCUUCAAACUUGGAAAAUGGUACCCACGGCUUCAAACUUUUGUCUUUAGACUGAGACUUAUUCUGAACAUUGAUCCCUUCUUGGUACCCACGGCUUGAAAUUUUUUAGACAUAUGGAUCAUGUUCGGUUUCUUGUUUCAGUCUUUAGACAAACAUCAAGUGACCCAUGGCUUAAAAAAGUCUUUAGACAGAGACUUGAGGUUCGAAAAAAGCAACCUUUAGACAAAAGAUUGGAUUGAGUUGUGUUUAGUGGAAUGAAAAUGAUACCCACGGCUUGAUCUACAAGAUGAUGUUAAACUAACCGGAUUUUGGAUCCUGUCAUUGAUCGUUAGCGAUUCCACAAAUUCAACUUGUUUUUGCAUCGUUACGUAGAUUUAGCAUACAAGAAUCCAUUGAAAACAAAAAACAUACAAGUUUCUUAUAUUUUAAGAAAAGAGUUCCAAUUUGUUUCCAUACGUUUAGUUACGAAGCUUGUAAAAGGGUUCGUAGAUGUGUGGAUUAGUGUACAAUUUGUAUGAAUACAUGGUUCAAUUUUUAAGAUUAGAAAGAUCAGUUAGGAUCAAAGGAAGAUUAAAGGGGAUAAUGGAAGAUUCAAGAUUGAAAGCAGAAAAGGAGAGGUCAAUCAAAAUAAAAGAAUAUAUGUUGCUCUUUUUGUUUGUUAUGGGAUCAGCCAAUCAAUAUUUCACCCACUUGCUAAUAUGUAAAAGACAGACAAAAAGAGUAACAGUGAAGAUGAUGGUUGUGAUGUAAUGAAAUCUAUGCCGUUUAAGAAAAGAGAGUAUCAAUUAGCUGAGCUUUGUAAACUAAGAAUGAACAAGUUCCAAAAUAAUUAGAUCCAAAAGAUCUUCCAAUGGAGCUUGGUUGUGAAAAUGCUAACUGAGAUUUCUCCAACAUGCACCCAUUGUUGCAAAAGCUUUCCCUGCGAUUUUAUACAAACAUACAAACAAAAUGUCACCAUAAUGUAUGAAUGUUUGUUCACCACGACAAUGGUUUUAGGUUCUUUACCUCGUGGUAUCGAGUAACCAUGUGGCUAUGCCUUUUCUUCUGUUAGAAGGUGAGACCCAAAUCGCUCUAAUCCCACAAACAGCCGGUUUAGCUUCUUCCUCGCAUACUAUUGCUCCGCAGUCUAAUCUAUCAUCUGAUGCUCGACAUCUUUUAGAUACUUCUCUUUGUAACACAAUGUUUCCAAACUGAAUGGAGGUUGAAGGCGAGGAGGUGCUCUCUUUUUGUAACUGUCUUUCAUCAUCAGGAGAAGGUAUGAGCUUAAAUGCUUCCUUAAUUGGUUCUGCAACUAGACAUCCAGAGAUCCUCUGAGAGGAUAUGAAUAGAUAAACCUACACAUAACAAGGUAGUUCUUGAAAUAACUGAGGAAAGUAAUUACAGGUUAUAUCAUCUUUCUUGUGAAUUUGUUGAAUGAUGCCAUAUAAAGAAAUUAAAGAAACUCCUCUUUUCAGGGAAUCAGAUUUCUUGUUUGAUUUCAAUGCUAGUCAUAGACAUGGAAGGAAUCAGACUAAGUCGAAGUUUUCCUCUUUUAAGUUGACCAUAGUAGAGCAAGUAUUCACCAUGCUUCCCAACAAGUUGUAUCAAAUGCCAAUUGGCUCAAUAUAGUAGACAUCAACAUACUAAAAAACACUCAUGAGCUAUGGAAUAUAUCCGCAAAUGACUGUUAAGACGUGGAAACAGGCUCAUACCUUACAAUGUUGGUGAAGAAUCCAAUCCUCACCUAACUCGACUUCCAUCAUUUUCACAACCUCUUGCACCUGCAAUUACAAAAGAUCCAUCGUUUAGGUCCUCUAAACGAAGAACCGGUACCAUAAACAGGGCAAGUUGAAUUGUGAAAAGAAUGGACCUUGUUUCUAUGUGCAGGGGAAUCAUUUUCUGAAACCAUAAUGAUGCGGUUCUUGUUGAACGAAGGCGAUGUGAACGCUUUCUCGUUCUGCCAACCCUGAGACCAAUUCAAAAAAAACAACAAUCAAUCUAAUAACCUCUACAAUAAUCAAAGAAACAGCUAUCUUCUUGAGCUUAAAAUGGGAUCCUAACCUUAAAAGGGAGUCCAUACAUAUAGUCCUUGUGAAAACUUUGAUGGUUCUUCUCGUCUAAUUCAUCUCCAGGAGCAUACUUAGCUCCACAUUGUGGGCAAUGUCUGAGAAGAAAAUCAGAUUGGCCCAACUCUAAGUGGAAUUGCGUAUAAUUGCGCUUCUUUUUGAGAUUUUUAGGUACAGAGGAAGAUCCUUUCUUCAGUGGCUUCCCGAUGCAUCCUUUAAGCACUUGACUUCUGAAUACCCAAAAAUAAGUGACACACAAACAGAAACCCAAUUAAUAAUGGCUGCAAGAUUAAAUCAAAGGGAUUUGCUUUAAGAAAACCCAGAAAAUCAGGGUCGCUUAUUUUCGAUUCAUCUGAAGAAAACAAAUAAUGUAGAAAUUCUCGAAGAACCUAAAGAGAAGAAAAACCGCCAAAGAUGAUCGAUUUACCUAUCGGGAAUCGCAGAUCGACGCUGGUAGGUGUUGACGAUGGCGUUCCGAUUGUUCUCCCAGACAGCUAAACCAUCGUCUGCGUCUGUUGUUACUGAGGCAGCGAUAGAAGAAGAAGAGGGCUUGAAGAAAGAAUUGAUUUUUGCUUGCAUCGUACAGAGAGAGCUCGAAUCCUUCUUAGGUCUGUGUUUGUUUUCCCCUUUACUUCUCUGAUUUUGGCGCCUAUGGAUUGAAUUUUUUGGCGCUAAUGAAAUUUUUUUGUUUUUUGCCGAUUCCUACCUAAACUUAUGUAAACCAAAGAAACCAGAAAAUGACAUUGGAUAAUUGAUGGGCCAUUUUGUGUAAUUGCAUAACUCAAGAUCAUUCCAAUUUAGUUCCAACGCCAUAAGUGGAAAAAUACGGCAUGUGAGGCCAGGAGACAAUUCAUUCGAGUCCAGAUUGUGAAUCAGUGUUGUGUUGUGAGAACAUUACAGCUUUGAUUUGAUGACGUCGAUUGAUGUUUGGAUAUCCAACUACAUUAGACAACGUCCAAAAUAAAAAAGAGCAGCAAGUGAAGUAUAGUUUGUGUGUGUUUUUUAUAUAAUUACAUGUAUGGAUUGGUGUAUAACAACAAUGUGUGCAUCGAUAUUAAUCUACGCUUUUCUUCUCCAUCUACUCCCUGUACUAUAUUUACCUCUUUCCUCUUCAAAAAGAGCCAAAAAAAGUAAGUGAGAAGCCGAUUCAUCAUCUGUCUGAUAACACCGAGUUGCUCCAUGACAACACAAAAUCUCGGAAAACAUUCGGUAAAUCUGCAUUCAAAACACAAGGAACCAAAUUCUUCAGAAUCAUACAAAACUACUUGCUAACUGCUAGCUAAAUCAAUGGCCCAAGGUGAAAUUUUUGCCCAUCGGUGCUUUCAUGUCUUGUUAUGUUAAGAAUGCAUAUCUGUGAUAGUCUUUUCUCUCCACAAGGCUUUAUUUGGUGCAAAAGCUUUUAUUAUUUGAAUGAUAGAUGAAGACAAAAUUAAAAGAAAGAAAGCAAAAUGGGGUUUUCCCUUUCUAUUACCUCGCACGACUUCCAUGGCCAGUGUGGGAAUAUCUACUUCGUCUUCAACCAAUCUGUAUACGUCCACAAGCUGAAAGAACAAAUGUAAAGUUAGUGCUUUAGAGUGUCAAUGGGGAUGAUAAGUGCUACAGAUAUAAAUCUGGUUGACGUGAGAUGUAUGAACAAACCUCUUCUACGUGAAGCUUCGAGUCCUCUGUGAGCGCAAGAAUAAGUUUCCUGCGGAUGCCUUCGUCAAGGAGGAAAAGACGAGCUCCGUCCUUAAUGGUAUCUGUCAAGUCAAGCUUACUCUCCCUGAAAGUUUCAUGAGUAAAAUACGGAUUUAGAAUUCAAGCUUCCCAGGGUGAACGAGUGAGAGAUUUUGGGAGCAAUGCUUAUAUAGAACUCGGUUACUUACACACGCUUUACUCGUAGAUUAGGAUUGCUACUCAUUUUGGCAACGUUUUCCUUUGCAAGUGAUAAAAGGUUUUCCAGCCUUUUCCAUUGGAAAACACCAUCUUUGAAUAGAACCUGAAAUGCGGUGGCAACAAGAGCUCUGAUUUCAGCUGAUGCGGAUAACAGUUCACCAUAGCAUAUAUGAAACUAAAUCAGAAUUAUCAAUCAACCUGUAUCAAGCGUUCCCGAAGUGCAGGAUUUGGAUCCGUUAGGAGCCGUUUUGCUACAUAUGGAUAAGCAACCUAGAUAAAAAGUUAGCUUUUAGUGUGGAAAGGGAAAUAUGGGUGAACAUAUAGCUAGUGUCUGCUCACUUCAGGAUUUACAUGUCAGCUAAAUCCUAAAUUUGAAAAGAAAAAAAUCAAAAUAUUAAACGUGACUUCACCUCUAGAAAUUUAAAAUCAGGCUUCAGCGUGAAACAUAUACCCUCCUGAGUAAGCAGAGAACGAAUAACAAGAGAGAACCGCUCCGGGAUACGGAUGGGAAAGUCGUACACAAGCUUGUUAAAUUGGCCUGCAAUGAAAAACGUGACACCAUUUCUUCAUAUGUGCAAGGGGUGCUCAGUAAACAAAAGAAACUUGCUUAAGGAAAGCAAUCUAUCAAGUACCUGUAACACUACGGAAAUUGAAAUCUGCAAGUCCUUUCCCUGCAGAGUUCUGCCAUAUGGCUUCUAAAGCUGGAACGAUAGGAGAAACAUCAGUAUCCUUGGCCAAGAACCCAAGCCUAGUGAAAUCAUUUGCCAUCUCCCCAUAGUCCUCAUUAACCGCAUGGACAACAGCAUCAAUCAAAAUUUGCUUGUUUUGCUGAGAAAAAAAAAAAGAUUUACUUUGGACUAUGAAUAACAAGUCUCUAUAUACAGAUGUGAUAAUCACUAUAGGAAGGGACAUAACCUAGCUACUAAAGGUUACUAGAUACCGUGGAACCAUUAAACUCAAGUUACCUGACUCAGUACAGCAACAUUACCGAAGUCCACAUAAGCAAUACGCCCAUCUUGCAUUGCAAAGAUAUUUCCAGGAUGUGGAUCUCCAUGGAACAAUCCAAAUUCUAACAGCUGCCUUAAAGCAGCACUUACGCCAACAGUCAAGAAUCCAUUUAAAUCAAUCCCCGCAUCCUUGAUGGCCUGAGUACAUUUAGUAAGAGUCAGUAUCAGAGUGGACUUUAAUUUUGACUUUUUAGGAGGGUAUAGAGGAAAUUUAUGUUGGCCCCCUUUUUGAAAGUCAACCUGUGGGUCAGUGCACCGAAUACCAUCAAUCCACUCCAUUACCAGAACCCGAGGACCACAAAGAUUCUUGUAUACUCCAGGAAUUUUGACUGUGGGGUCAUCUUUGAAGUUCUCCAGAAAGUCUUCAAUGUUUCUGGCUUCCUGUAGGCAAGAACUUAAGGUUAACCAGGAUUAUAUAAAGACUCAUCAUUUCAGAUCAUCAACACAGAAGAACGCAUAGAGUGAAAUUGAGAAGUAUAUGAGAUACCAAGGUGUAGUCAAGCUCCUCCAGAAGCUUUUCUCCAAAUUCAUCAACUAUUAGCUCUGCGUUGCAACCCAGUUUCUGUAGACUAAAGCCAUUUAAGAAUGAGGCGAGGGUUCGGAAAAGAAAGAGAUCCCGGUAAAUUAUGGGCUCUAUUUGUGGUCUCUGCACCUGCAUAUGCAUAAAAAAAAAAUGUCAAAUCCAACCUUUAAAACAGUUUCAGUUUGAUAAGCCUGUAUGAACUCUGUAGCCACAGUAUAAGUUUCCAUUUAGAAGAACCUUGAUAGCAACAUCCUCUCCAGUGGCACGUAGAGUAGCUCGAUAAACUUGUCCCAAGCUUGCAGCUGCUAUUGUUUCUGAAGAAAUCUUGCUAAAUAUGGCCUCAAGAGGUUGGCCUAACUCUUCCUCGAUGAUAUUGAAAGCAACCUACAAAGUCCUUCACCACUUAGCUUCACACGACAAUGGCAAAUGAUAAUAAGAAAAAUAUCUUGCUCUACAAAUUCCCCAAAAAGAUAAGACAUUUUACCUCGUUGGGGAAUGGAGGAACAUCAUCUUGGAGAAUGCAGAGCUCGUUCAUGUAGUCUUCACGGAUGAUAUCAGGCCUAUUUGCCAGAACCUGCCCCCCCCAUGUAACAGAUAUUAGAGAAGAUAACUUUGAGAACCCGGUUAAUGCCAUUUUCUAACAAAUAAGAUGGAUCCACAUACUUGUCCAGCUUUGAUAAAUGAAGGCCCCAAGUUGCACAAAAGGUUCCUAAGCUGGCGAGCACGAAAGGGGACAACUUCCUCGUCCCUUCCAACCAAAAAAUCAUACAUUAAGGUAGACCAAUACAACCCAAGAGUCCAAACAAUCUCCACACCCCUUGAAACUAGAGAGACGACUGCUCCUCUUGAUUCCAGCACUUUACUCCUCACCUGAUCACCAGUAAAUUCCAAUUCAAACAAUCAACAACAACAUAGAUUCCACCUAAGACACAAGACUCAAGUAAAUGCCAAGAAGAACCAGCUCAAUAAGUGAAUCAACAAAUUGCAACAGAGCUAAAAGAAAUUGAAAUUGACUGAAACUAACGCAUAAAUCGAGCUAGAAACAGAAACAGGUUAAAGAAGCAAAUCAUACAGUCUCCGGAGAAUACUUUCGGAAUGGAACGCAAACGCCUCGCUCGAUAUCCAGCUGCUCAAGCGCGGAGUUCGAUUUCCCUACUCGAAUACCUCUCUCCACCCCGCUCAUCGCCGUUGUCAUUACCGAAGCAUCCGUCGAAUUUCGACCACCAACAUCCGUCGCCGCCGCAGUAACUGAAAAAUUAGAAGUCCGUACAGCCGAGAACGUCCUGCUCCGCCGCAACUCCACGGCGUUGAGAGAUCGCAAAAGAGCAUCUCUCCGAUCAAGAAGAGCGCGAUUUAUUCUCCGAUGACGCUGAUUUAAGGAGAAAUUAGGGUUUACUAAACUAUUGCAGUGGAUUGACUCCAUGGAUGAUGAGCUACGGAGGAUGAUGAGCUACGGAGAAGCGAACAGUGGAUACGUUUCCGUUGGACGACAAACUAUUAAUUACCGAAAAUGGAAUAAAUCGACUACCAACCACAUAAGAUAAUAAUUAUUUUUUGUUUUUAUCUUUUAUUUCCUGGAAAGUAAAAGAACCUUAUCUUCAAAAAGCCACAAUAGAUGUAAUCUGUAGCAAAUCGACCCCAAAACUUUUUGUUGUUUCUUUCUACAUCCCACUUUUUUUUUUGUUGGUUUGUAUACGAUACGUGAUAGUAUUUGGCGUCAAGCAGAGAAGAAGCUGCGAUCGAGGAAAGUCUUGUGUGGCCAAGAAAGGUGCAACGUUUUGGCAACUAAACAAUACAUGUUCGUAUGGUAAUUGACUACUUACAAUUGAAUGAAUGAUAUUAUACCAACGGAUACUAAUAUUUAACAACAAAAUUACCAUUAUUAAUUUGAUAAUUAAAACUUUUUUUUUUUUUUUUUUUUUUUUUUUAAAUAUUUUAUUAAAACCACCCUAACGGGCUUGGGCCGAAGCCUACACACAAACCAAUCCAGUUACAAAAAGGUAAAUCGGCAUCUCGCCGGAAAAAGAAGAAAAGCUCGCCCCUUGUUGAUAGACGCUCGUAGAGCAACCGGAGCCUUAAAUCUGGCAGAUUCAAGACCCACCGCUUCGUGGCCGCGUCAGAAAAUCGACUACCACCGACGGAAGAAUCUGGUUUCCGUCAGAAGAGUCUCUCCUCCGACGCACCAACCCGCCACAAGCCUCCCAGAAAGCUAGUCACUCCAACGCAGCGCAUCGACGGAGUCGGAUCCCGACCUAGCAACCCGACCCACUGGGAGGUAACCCUUUUCUCCCAAAACCGGUAACACCAAAAAACCUGAAUCUUCACGCAUCGAUCCGGACCGGUGGAGACCAGAAGCGGCGGAUCUAGAGAACGUUGGCUCGCCGUGAACCUCUAAACCCGAACCCCGCAUCAGCCCUCUAAGAUCCAAACAGAUCCACAGCUAACCACCGCGUCGGACAACGAACCCCCCUUAUCCCCUCCAACUUCCGCCGUGGACGCAGCAACUAGAUCGACGGGUGAGCCUGAGGCGCAUUGCAGCAUCUCCCGGCGUCCUCAACCGCGAGACCACCGCUGCAAAACUCCUCAUCCGUCAGAACCAGGGCCACAACCACAUCAGAGAGGAAACACCACACCGCCGUUGACGGAGAUACGCUCCGACUCACUCCUGGACCGCCUUGGAGAAGCCUCGAACCGAAGAUUGAAGAGCAGAACGGAACGAAAGAACCCUAGAUCUGGUUGCCGGAAAUCGUCUUCAAGAGAGAGAGAAAUGCACAGCUAUCGAGGCAACGAUUGGGCCGUAUCUCUUGAUAAUUAAAACUUACUCGAAUCUUUUUUUAGGUUUUAUAACAAUGA